RNAcentral lists this long non-coding RNA (48447 nucleotides) under Ananas comosus (pineapple). Its description in RNAcentral is "long non-coding RNA (ACOM_LNC029870)". Lineage: Eukaryota; Viridiplantae; Streptophyta; Magnoliopsida; Poales; Bromeliaceae. The record is from RNAcentral.
GAGUUGAAGCUAAAAGAAGAUACAUGCCUAUUGCUAAGAGCUACUCUGGAAAACUUGGAAAGUGAAAAAUAUGGUCUGCAGAGAAGCAAUCAAGAAUUUGUAGAGAAAAUUGACAUAUCAUGCAAGGCAUAUAAGGAGCUUGAAAAUGUGCUUCUCAGCCUAAUGGCAAAAAUAGUUGAACUAGAUAAAGAGAAUUUGAUUGUUUCAGGUCAUGUUUCUAAGCUGAUCUCUUCCUUUCAAACCUACAAUGAGUUGAUCCAAGAAGAGAAGAACCUGGCACUAAAGUCUGCUCAGGGCAAAUUUGAAAAUCUCCAGAAAGUAUACAUACAUUCCAUAUCGGAAAAUGAUGCCCUCAAAAUAGAAAUCGAGGAGCUUCACACCAAAGUAACAGAGCUACAGAAAGCUCAAGAAUUUGUUAUGGUACAACAUGCAGAAGAAUGCCGCUUAGCUGAAGAUAAGGUUCGAAGAUUGGAGUCUGAAGCUGCGGAAAUUGUCUCAAAGAAAGAUGAAGCAGAGGAGUUGGCUUCAGAGUUGCAAAAGAAAGUUGUAAAGUUAUCAGAAGAUUCUAAGCUAACUGAUAGUCAAAUGGUUCGUCAAACUUACUCCUUUCUUGACUACGGUUUCUACUAUAUCUUUAUAAUCUCUAAUCUUGUUCUUUGAUGCUUUCAGCAAGAGUUGUUACAGAAAAUUUCGAAGUUAGAAUCAGAGAACCAUGAUCUUCUAAACAAAGAGAAGUUGGUGUUACAAGAAAAAGCUCAGGAGAUAGAAUCCCUUCAUAGUGAGAUAACUAAGCGUGACCAGCAGGUUGAUGCACUAGAAAAUCAUGUCAACCAACUUCAUAUAGAUAUGGAUGAGAAGGAGCAGCUUAUUUUAAGUUCUGUAGAGAGAGAAAAGCAUUUAGAGGAGCAAAAGUCACAGGUUAUUGAUUGUGAUACUUUUGAUUGAUGCGAUAACAAUUUAGAGAGUAUCUAUAACAGUUAUCUGUGUUCAGAUUCAGGCUUCACUGAUGGCAGCUGAAUGCAAACUUGCUGAGGCAAAAAAACAGUAUGAUAUGAUGCUCGAGGGUAAACAGUUGGAGCUAUCCAAGCAUUUGAAGGAGUUGUCUCAGAGGAAUGAUCAGGUAUUGAUUUUUUGUUGGUGGGCUUUGGCUAUUUUGCACUGUAGGAUAAUAACAAUAUGAAUGAGUGAGUUUGGCAGGCAAUCAAUGAUAUUCGGAAGAAAUAUGAGGUUGAGAAGGUGGAUAUUGUUAGUGCCGAAAAGGAAAAGGUAUCUUCUCUUUUUAGUAUUGGUCCUAGACGAUGCAAACUUUGAAGAUGCUGACAUCUUUCUUUACUGUAUCAAAUUGCUAAAAUUUCAGGCAGAGAAACUCAUCAAAGAAAUGGAAAGAAAAUGUGAAGAAAAAAUAUCUGAAAAUAAAGAGGAGGCACAGCGGUACUUGAUGCAUGUUAAGGAGGAACAUGGUGCAAUGGUAAUUAUUUGGAAUUCUUGCGGCUUCCUUGAGUGGAUUAACAAAUCAAGAAUGCUAAUUGGUACUAUGGAGAAUUAUCCGUCUUUCCCACAGAAAAAAUUCCUAUUCCAAAUCUAAUGGAACUAUUGUAUAAGAGUUCACUUAUUCUGUGAUAUUUCCUGUUUGCAACGUGUUUGAUAAUGAAGUUCUUCCUGACCUCUGGAAAAUGUUGUAUGCACCAUGCUGUUCCUUGGAGAUACAAUGCACAUCUGCUUCCUAAUUAUUAUGAAGAAUGUUCUCCAUAUUUUGAACAGAAGCAAAACCCUACUUCACAGCUAAACAAAAUGUGAUAUAAGAAUCAACUGUUCUGAUAUUUCCUGCUGCGACAUAUGACUCUCAUAAUUUUCAUUCUCACCACAAAACAUGUUACACGUAACAUGUUACAUCCUUGCACAUACAAUGCUGUCUGCUUGCUAAUGCUCGAGUUUCACAAGAGAUAGCCAGUCUUCAGUGCUGGAAAAUAGUAUUUCUUAGAUUUUUCGUGUGUAUAUACAUAUAAAUGCUAAACUACACAAUACAGAUGAUACUGCCAUCUUUGAAGAAGAGUAUCAGGCUUUUCUUUUGUGAAUUCUGCAGAUUAGUAGAAUUCAGCAGGAUCAUGAUGAGAAGGAAUCAAGACUUCGGUCCCAUCACACGGAAGAGCUGCAGCGGCUACAGCUUCAGACUGAAAAUGAAUUGAGGGAGGUACUUGAUGAUUUACUCUUUAGCUUUCCAUUAUUCAAGAAUCUUAACCAGCUUUUAACUGUCAUAAAUCCUCGUCAACGUAGAGAAUAUCAUCACUUAGAAAAGAGCAUGAAAUCCAAAUAAAAUCCUUGAAGCUAGAAUGUGAAGAUGACUGUAGAAAACUACAGGAAGAGUUGGAGCUUCAAAAGUCAAAGGUACUUUGCUUUCUGUAAGGCUUUGUUCAAUGAAAUUCAUUGCUUCUUUAAAUCCAAAUUUUAAUGCAAUCUGAUUCAGGAGGAAAAGCAACGAGCAUUACUUCAAUUGCAGUGGAAAGUAAUGGGUGAGAAUCAACAAGUUGACCAAGAAGUGAACUCUAAGAAUAAGAAGGUGCUCUAUUCUAGUGGCUAUGCUAUGAUAUUAGUUACACAUACCUGCUUCUCUACAUUCUCUUCUGUUUGGUUUUCUUUUUUCCUCUCGAAACUCUUUGUAUGGUUUGCUUCUUUUUUGUUAAGUACUUUGCUCUUUUAUCUCCUGAUUAAACUCCCUUUUGGAGGCAUGGACAUCUUGUUCAGCACAUCUAUUUUGUUUAUUCAAGGAGCAUAAAGCAAUUAGUUGAUAGUGAAUAUAUUUUUACAUUUUUCAUAACGUAUAUUUGGCCUCUAGUUCAUUUUAAUCGGAAUAGGAUAAAUUACCAUGUCGGCGGUAAGCCUUAUCCUUGAAUUUCACAAUGAUGAAGGCCUUGCAAUGGACAACAAUCAAACUAUGGUAGCUAUCACAAAUAAUCACCAUACUGCACAAAUUAUAACUGGAUAACUUGCUCCAGUAUCCAAAUAGGCCCGAAAUAGUUGCAUUGAGCAUCACCUUAUAGCACUUUCUUACAGCAUGGUGCACUUUAAUAAUUUUAUUCAGUAUUUCCACUUCUGCUUUUUACUGUACUUGCACAGACUUUGUAUUUCUAAUCUGUUUUAAGUGAUAUUAUUAUUAUUAUAUGGUAUCUUAUUUGUAACUUUGUCAUUCUGUAGGAAUACUCUGUUUCCUCGAUAAAGAUGAGAGAUUCAUACGGUAGGAAAGAACGCCAGCUUGCAGUAAUCAGCCCUGAGAGUAGGAAGGUUGUACGACCACUAAUCUCUUCUUAGACAGAAUUUGUUUGAUAUCUUUUACAACAAGUUCAAGGCUGUUAUAUUUAUGAGAUUGAAAAUGAUCGUACUUUAAUUUCUAUAUUGGGUGCACUCUAGGAUGUAAAUUUGUCAGGAAUCAUGCGGACACCUAUAGCAAACAUACUGAAGAAAGUAGAGAAGGGGAGUGCAAGAAAUAUUCCAAAGCACAGCAAGAAGGUGAUUCCUUAUGACAGAUUGAUCCUUUUACACCAUUCAUUGCUCUCCAGUGAACCCAUUUCUGUCCAUCAUUUAGUUCAUACCUAUUCAAGAAAUUCUUUUGCUGUUAUAAAUGAGUUGUUUUAUUUGAAUUGUCAUUUAAAUAUGCCUUUGAUGUUAACCAACUUUCCAAUGGUGCUUACAUAUCUCCGAUCAUGUCAGUUAAACCAUUUUCAAUUAUUUCUUUCUUGGAUAUUUCACUGUAACAGGUUACACGCCAUGAAUACGAAAUCGAGACAGCCAAUGGAAGAACAAUAACAAAACGCAGAAAGACAAAAAGCACUGUAAUGUUUGAGGUAUACAAAUAUCUGCUGUCUGGAUAUAUAGUUUGCAACAGUUGAGCGGAUGCGUUAAAGCCAUCAAUUUUACUUUGCAUGUUUAGGAACCGGGCAUUCAAAAGACAACACAUACCAAGACACCUAAUGCUAGUGAGGAUGUUACGAAAAUCAGAAAGGUACGAGCACCAAGUCACUAACUACAAUUCAGCAGAUAUUUACUGGGAUUUUUAAAGUAAAUGCGUGACUGGGAAUGCCUAUAUUUUCUUUUCUUUUUUUCAAAUUCUUCCUCAUUCAAAUAGGGUAUAUCCCUGUUUAAUCAAAAAAAAAAAAUUCUUCCUCACGUUCUCUGAAUUUUAAGGCACCUGUGGGAUGGUCCUACUUAAUUUUUAAUUUCUAUAACUAUGAUUCUCAUUGACAGCAAAAAAAAAAAAAGAAAAAAAAAAGAAAGAAACAAAAGGAAAAAAAAAAGAUAUGGCAGUUAGUACUUUUCGCUUUUUGGUUUUCUGAGGAGAUGAGCUUGCAUUCUAAGCAACAAUGGUAAGAAAGUUCCCAAGCGAUUCAAUUGCAUAACGCUUGAUGGAAAACAAAAACUAAAGCUUAACAUAGAUCAUGUUAAUUAUGCGUAAAUUAUCUCAGUGCUGCUUUUUAUAUUACAUUGAACCCGUUUUCAGAUGCCAAUGACUCCUGGGAGCUCUUAUACUCCACUUAGGAAUGCGUCUUGUAUCUUUUUUUCCCUUAUGUAGCGAGCGUCUAAUGAUUUCCCUCAUGAUAGAUGUGUUUACUUUUUGACAUCUACAGUCUUCCUUACAAUGUAACUUAACAUCCACAGGUAGUUGGAGGGCCCCACCCGCAUCCUGCGAAUAUCGGCGACUUGUUCUCCGAGGGUUCUCUAAACCCUUACACUGACGACCCUUACGCAUUUGAUUAGAAGGUACUUUAAUCUUGAUUACAGUAAAAGUUUCUUCUAAUUUCCUUACAGUUCGUAAUCUUGAUUCUGCUGCAUAAAUCUAUAGAAAUAUAAUCUUGUCGAUAAGCAUCGUGAAGCGGUCUUCUACCGAAGGUGUACAUGAAGGGACGUAGGCCUAUUGUGGCCUUAUUGUGCAUAUAACACCAAAACUAACUUGUUGUGGGCGGAUGAAGAGGAUAUUACAUACUCAUUUCAAGCAUUAAAUGAUGUAAAGGGUAGGUGAGAAAACUCGCUAGUCUUGCACCUUAUAGUAGUUGAGCAAGAGGAGACUGGAAGAUGACCGUAUGGAAUUAAUUCAUACACCUAACCGAACCGUUUCUACCAGCCCCCCAUAUAUACAUUCCUAUAAUACAUCCAUCUCUGACUUGCUAGAAUGGUAGUACCACGAGCUUGCCAUCACAACCAAUGAACCAACCGUUCUUUUCUCUGCUAAAAUAAUAAUUUUUGAAAAUUAUUUUUAAUGGUUUGUACAUUGAAGGAAAUACCACUUUUGACUUUGUGUGAAAUCAUAAAUGUUAUACAUGAAUACUGAUUUGUUAACUUAAAGUACAUUUUUGAGUCGAGAAAAGAAAAUAGCGACCAGUGCAUCCUAUAUAUAGAUGUAAAUUUUAUAUCUAUUCAUCCUAAGCUUUAUAAAUUUCUUAUAAAUUUUUAGUAUUAAGAAAAAUGUUGAUGCGAUCAAUAAGAGAAUAAGAGAUUUUGGAUAAGUAAAGCGUCAUAUUUACAUCCUACAUAUAGGCGUAUGGGUAGCGUUGCUCUUUGAGUUAACCUAUGGGCUAUGGCCUUACUUGAAAAAGGAAAAAAUAAAAAUAAAAAAAAUCCGUCACUCUCACUUGAAUGCGUUUUCCCUCAAAGACUUCAUUAACUCUUGCCACUUCAAUUGUGUAACAUCAUAUUCUUCACACCAAACACAAACCCAAGUGAGCUCUUUCUGAAUAAACAAACCACCUUCAAUGGUCGCACAAAUGUGGAAAGCACUUCCCACAUGCGCAGCAGAGGAGCCAGGAAAUUCAAUGAAUACUUAGUGCUCUCUGCAACACAAGCUCGCUCUAUGGAGCAGCAGUGCAAAAAAUAUGGCAGGUGGCGGAUUUGCUGCUGAAUUCCCCGCCUCCGAUUACGGCGGAUCUCUAACGACCUCUGUUAUCGUCACCUGCAUCAUGGCGGCCUCCGGCGGCCUUAUUUUUGGCUACGACAUCGGGAUCUCAGGUGAUUCUCUCUUUCUCUCUCUCUCUCUCCAUCUCUCUUGAACAUUUCUAUUGUGCAAAAGAUCGAUUAGAACUGCAUCUGAUAUCAUAUUACUUGAAAAAUCAAUACAAUAAACAACAGACCUGAUUUUAUAGGGGGUGUGACGACCAUGGAAUCAUUUCUGAGAUCCUUCUUUCCCAGCGUUUUGAAGAAGAUGGCAGAAGCCAAGCAGGACGACGAAUACUGCAUGUAUGACAGCCAGGCGCUAACGGCAUUCACAUCGUCGCUGUACGUCGCCGGGCUGGCUGCAUCGCUGGCCGCAGGCCGCCUCACAAAAGCCGUCGGCCGCCAGACGAUCAUGCUCCUCGGCGGGGCCCUGUUCUUCACUGGCGCCACCGUCAAUGCCUCCGCCGCCAAUGUCGAGAUGCUCAUCCUCGGUCGGAUUCUCCUUGGGUUCGGUGUCGGAUUCACCAACCAGGUUAGUAUUUUUAAGUAGCUAGGCCAACUACAAAAUUGAGCCUCUAUAUGCGUUGAAUAGUUGGUUAGAACUAAUCGUAGGUAAAAAUAUAUAUAUAUAUAUAUUAAUACAUAACCCUACCUAGAUUGCAUUUUAGCUCUCAGAAUUUUUGCUUCAAUAACUUAACUUCUAAGCAUUUUGAAAUAUGAGACCUCUGUAGCAGUAAAUGUUAUUUGUAAAUCCCAAUCAGUUUAUACAUCAUACAUUCCAUCCAUCUAAUAAAUAAAGCGUUUUUAUUAGUCACAUUAAGGGUCCCACUCAUUAGACGGUGGGAUCUAAAAUGUAUACUUAAAUUUAUGAAUACUAUUGCUCACACAACAGCUAUUUAAUAAGACUUUUUUAAUAUAAAAAUAAAAAAUGUGAUAUGACCAGGCUGCUCCGGUGUAUCUGGCGGAGGUGUCGCCGGCGCGGUGGCGCGGUGCCUUCACGACAGGCUUCCAAUUCUUCAUCGGCGUCGGCGUCGUCGCCGCCAACCUCACCAACUACGGCGCGGCCCGCCUUCGCAGCUGGGGGUGGCGCCUCUCCCUCGGCCUCGCAGCCGCCCCCGCCUGCGUCUUCAUCCUCGGCGCCCUCCUCAUCCCCGACACCCCCAGCAGCCUCCUCCACCGCGGCAUGCCCAUCGACACCGCCCGCGCCGCCCUCCGCCGCCUCCGCGGUUCCUCCGCCGACGUCGACGCCGAGCUCAACGACAUCGCGCGCGCCGCCGAGGACGCGCGCCGGAACGAGGAGGGGGCGUUCGCGAGGAUGGUGCUGGGGCGGCGGUACCGGCCGCAGCUGGCGAUGGCGGUGGCAAUUCCGCUGUUCCAGCAGCUGACGGGGGUGACGGUGGUGGCGUUCUUCGCGCCGGUGCUGUUCCGGACGGUGGGAUUCGGGAGUGACGGGGCGUUGGUCGGGGCCGUUAUUUUGGGAUGCGUGAACUUGGCCUCGAUCCUCGUGUCCGCGUUCACGGUCGACCGGCUCGGCCGCAGGAAGCUGUUUAUAGUCGGUGGGGCCCAGAUGAUCAUUUGCCAGGUACUGCAGUGCUACACAACAGCCACAGGAACACUUGUAUUUGCUAAUACAUCUUUUAUUUAUGCAAGAGAAGGUGGCGGUGGCUUGGAUAAUGGGGGCGAAAAUCGGCGCCGAUGGCGAGGCGGCAAUGCCGAAAGGGUACGCAGCGGCCGUGCUGGUGCUGAUGUGCGCCUUCUCUGCCGGGUUCGGGUUGUCAUGGGGGCCGCUGAGCUGGAUCAUCCCGGGGGAGAUCUUCCCCGUGGAGGUCCGGUCGGCGGGGCAGGCGAUCAGCGUGGCCGUCAACCUCGGCUGCACCUUCGUCCAGACGCAGCUCUUCCUCGCCAUGCUCUGCCGGUUCAAGUUUGCCACCUUUGCAUACUUCGCCGCCUGGGUCGUGGUCAUGACCGCCUUCGUCGCCGCCUUCCUCCCCGAGACCAAAGGGGUGCCCCUCGAGUCCAUGGCCUCGGUGUGGGAGCAUCACUGGUACUGGGCUCGGUUCAUCGCCGAUGACAAUCGUGCCGACAAUUCAAAAGUGAAUAUUAACAUCCGUUAGAUUCUCUUAUAUCUAAAAGUGAAAGCGGUCAUGCAACAUUAGUUCCCAGCUUCAAAUUCCUACUUUGUCUCAACCAAUGUGCAUUUAGAUGUAUUCUCCCACCCAAAUGAACAAUAGAGAUUCUCAAAGCAAUGCUCAAAGAGUAACAUCUACAUAUCUAACUUAACCCAAAAAAUAAAAAUAAAAAAUAAAAAAAUCAAAGAAUAAAGGGCACAACAAGAUCGAAGAUCUGGUAAAAGAACUGUUAAAGCUGAUGAAGCAAAUAUCGUUCAAUGUUCUAAAAUAUUGCACUUCUCAACCUCACAAAUACAUAACCAUCAAAUAUGCAAUGCUUAAUAAUAUCGACAGUUAAUCAAGACAUCUUCCCAAAUGAGCUGUUUGCAUUCCAUCAAAUAGCUAAACAGUUUUUUCUCUUCUUUUUUUUUCAAACCUUUCGCGCUCAAUGAUUUUACACUCAAUAAUAUUCACAAAGCAGUUAGUGCUCACAGCAAGAAUUAAUAGCAGAAAGAGUCUUUCAACCCAUUUCUACACCAAGUAGACAAGCAAAAAAGAGUCUUUCAACCCAUUUCUACACCAACUAGACAAGCAAAAGUCUAGUGCGGUGCAGAUCUCCCGACGGAACUAACACAGCAUUUAAGUAAAAAUAUAUACUAUCAAAACACUCUUAGCACAGAAAACACCUGUAAAAAUAUCUUUAUGAAGAGACAUGUUAUCAUAAAACAAUUCUAACAUAUACGGCCAACUAUGCCAAAUUCCAUUAAUCAUCUUUAAAACCAAGAUAAAACCAGUUUAAGGAUUCCCCCCAAAAUGGGCACAACACAACACAACACAAAACAUGCCUAGUCACAUAUGUAUAUAACGAUAUAUAACCAUAUGUAUAAAACUAUACAUAACCAACAGCCAACCAGAUGAUACAUGAAAGCAUCAGAUCCAAACCACAUCCAACACAAAAGUAGCAGUGUAAUAUUGCAACUAGAAAAUUCAUUGCAUUCCUCACUCAUACCACAAGCAACAAUAUUUUAAAUGACUUAAGUAUGACACACACAGGAUACAAAAGCUAAGAAUUAGAAAUCAAUGAUUAAAUAUACUUCACGAUCGAUCUUGCAUCAGUUUGUUAAGUAGUUUAUAUAAGUAAAAGGUUCAAAUGAGAUUUGGACAGCCACAAGCCUCGGACAAAAUAUAAACUAGUCUAAAAUGCAAGUUGUCCACAAAAAGGGUUGCCUAAGAGCAUCAUAGUAUCUGCCGAAAUCAUAUUCAAGGAUCAGCUAAAAAUCCCCAAUAUAUACCUAAUCUAAUAAUGCUACAAUGGUCAAAAUCCACAGGAGAGGAAAAAUAAUACCAGACUAAGCAACAAGAACUAGAUUAUAAUCAUGUAGGCAUCUGCAGCUACAGGCACAGCAACAGUCUCACAAUCAACACGCAAUCACUGCUAGCUGCAGCUACAAUCACGAGCCACAGGACGUACUUUUCUCCCACGACCCAACAGGUAGUAUCUACAAGAACUUCCAUCACUGAAGCUUCACAGCUACAGUCACGAGCCAAUCGCUACAUACCAUGGCACAAUAGGAUCAACAAAAGGAAAAAAGAAGUCAUUAUGCAACAAAUAUGAUAAUGUAUCAAGGUAUGUGUAACCAAGUACUUAGCUUGUCCCGACCACCUGAAAAUUCCUAGAGCAUGUAGUCAAAGCUUGUUAUUGCACGCCCCAACAAUGUCAUUCACAAAAACAGCUACAAUAACAGCAUCAUAUGGCAAAAGAUGGGGUGAUGAUGGUGCAACAGCAAGUGGGAGUGCAUGACGCUCACGAAUGGCUAGCACUACUCCUUUUAGGCCAACAAAUAACAAAGGCAAAAGAUGUAAAUAUGACAAGAGUACACAAUCUAAAUGGACAGGAUUUGCCACAAGAAUUGGGCACAUUGCUUACCAAGCAUUAGAAUAGUGGAGUAAGCUAACCAUCAUUUCGAUGGAUCUUGCCUAAGGGGCUGAAACAGCACCUGUCCUCACGCUGAUUUCAACAUCAUCACGGACUAAAAACUUGAUUAAACAAUAUCAUCAUCAUCAUCAUCAUCAUCAUCAUCAUCAUCACCACCACCAUCAUCCUCCUCCUCAAAUCAUCACCACACCACCAACGCAAGCAUCAGCAUGAGUUAAAGAGAAUCAGCUACACGGUCAUCAGCAUGGACAAGUCCUUAUGAAAUCAUCUCACCAGCUAGGUGCAACACCGAUCUCACGAACAGAUAGCUAGAAAAUGCACAAUAUGUUCAACCAUAAGUUCAGAGUUUUACUAAACUGCUAAGGAGACAAGUUCAUAGAGAGCUGCAAACAAAAGGUACUAGAGAAGAACAAUGACACAUUGAGAUUCCUAAAUAAGAACCAACAAAAGAAAAGGCAUACUCCAGAGAACAGUAAGUCCAAGAAAGUGCAACUUAUGACAUUGGAAAAACAGUCCAAAGCUAUCAAACUGACCACACUUCAUUAAGCUCACUGACAAUACUAGAGAUAUAAGAUGGAUGGCUCAAGUUGAAGAUUUCCUCAGUCCUGCAAUAGGCGAGGAUAAAUACUAAUCAAAUUUCCACUAGCUAUAACAAAAACUGGAAACUGUGACAUUUUAGAAGUACAGAAAUAUCUACCUCAUCAGAGCUACGUGGACUCCGAGAGUCUGCACGGCGUCCUCUUGGAGAAGCACUCUGUGAACGAGGCGAGCGUUCCCCAUUCAUAGCUUUCUCAGGGCUCUCUUCGCGCGGAGGUGUCCUUUUAGGUGAAGUGCUCCUACGAGGACUAACGCUACGCCGAACAGGUGAGGCACUGCAAAAUAGUUUUACAAGGCAACAUAAGAGCAAAUUGUAUCACAAAGUAAUGUACGGUUUGUCUGCCUAAGUGCCAUUUGAGUAACUUUUAACAGCCAUUUCAUUAAAUUCCCUCUACCAGCCUUCAACUGCAGCCAAAACAGAAGCUUCAUGCUUUUCAAGCCUGGAAAUUCAUUUCAGCUACCCAAAACCGUAGACAUACUGGAAAUUUCGUUUGCCAGACAACUGUACUAUUGCUUCUCAUAUUUCCCAAAGCCAGGGAAUAUAGGCAUUAAGAGAAAAAGGAUAUCUUAACAUUACCUGUCAUAUGAGUGGCUUCUGCGUGGACUAUAGCUACGCCGAGCAGGUGAGGCACUGUACAAGAUGGUAGUAUAAGAAAAUGGGUGGAAGAAGGAACUAAGCACAGAAGAUGUCCUCAUGGUGGUACCUAUCAUAUGAGCGACUCCUGCUUCUCCGUCGAUCGUCAUCCGCCUUCCCUCUGCCACGGCCUCUAUCAUAAUCAGAGCUCAAACUGCGGCUUCUGCUUCGACGAGAAUCCCUAUCCCUAUCGUGAUGCCUGUCACGCUCAGAUCUUCCCCUGCUUCUACUACGGCCUCGUCUUCCAUAGUCUCUGUCUCGAUAAUCAUCUCUAUAUCUGAUCACGAUAAACACAAGUAGAAAGUAUAAAGUAUCUAGCAAUUUAACAUUCGAAGCCUUAUAAAGAAAAUAUUUCAUACUGUGCAGAAGUACAAUAUACUUAUUGUUCACUGGCAGUCUGGCAUCAUAAAGACUAUUGCAUUCUGUGGGUACUUUGAUGAAACAAAUUUUGAUAUUUACUAUUAAAAGAAGAAAAGAAGACAAAGAAGCUGAGUUUCAUGACAAAUGAACUGAAGAAAGGCAUCAGCUUCCUCUGAUAACUAAAUAUGAAUAAGAAUGAACAAAGAUAAGGACCCUCACCCUCGCCUAGGGCUACGGCUUCUUGACCUGCCCCUUGUCUUCGGGACUACUUCCACAAUUCUUCCUUUGUGACUGCAAGAGUAAGGAUAUAAUGUAACUGAAAAGCAUCAAUGGGCGUAACUGACAACAAAAACAAAGCACAAUUCAAACACAAGGGCAAGGCAAAUUUGUUCAGAUAAUAACCUGCUGCAGACAAAAGAAAAGAGAGAACAUAUCUUUCCUAGGAAUGCAUUCGGCAUUGUAACCUUGAAGAUAAAAAUACGGUUAUCUCAUUUUUGAAAAUUUUCAACCAGCAAAAAAAAAAAAAAAGCUUUUAAGAAAAUAUUGAUAAGACAUAAAUGGCCCUCUCUAGUUGUCAUUUAGUGGACAACAGAUCUUUAGCUCGCUAUAGUUUAAAACAUAUGUAUGAAAACUAAUUUAUGGGGGGGAAAUUACAUUCAAUAGUUUAUAAGUGCAUAGGGAUGGUUACCAUAAUUUUUAGAAAAAAUACCAAUGCUGUUAUCAGUACACAAUCUUUAAGCAACUGUACAAAAGAAAAAUAGGCAACCAGCUCAUGUCAAACUACUAGCACAUUUACGCAAAUGAAAGCUCUUCACUUUCGGGUCUGGAACAACUGAUCUUGAGGAAAUGUCCUUUGGUUCACUUAAUCCUUUCCUUCCAUUUCUGAGAAGCACUUUGUCUGAAUUAUACAAGAAUUACAAAACUUUGUAGUUUGCAUCAGCAAUGCAGAUCGAGUGACUUGCAAUGUAACAGAUCGAUACUUGGAUAAAUAUCCUUGUCUGAAGAGUAUGAGCCGGCAAUGUUAUUCAAAAGAUAUAGAGUGCAUACAGAGUAACUCAAAAGGGUCAAAAUUGACAAAAUAGGGACUAAUGUACAGCAUCAACUAUACUGAAUAGCAAAUUAUAAAUCAUAUAGUAAGACAGAACUAAGCUGAUAGAAGGAAAAUCGCUUCUCAUUUAACCGAAAGAGAAAUAAUUCACUACAAAUUUAUUCCAAAACUAGGCAGGCACAAUCCAUAUACCAACAAGUUUCUUUUUUUUCACUUACUACUUUAAAAAAAAUACAUUUCAUUUCAGAAAAUUCAAUUAAAAAAAACUAAAAUAGCUAAUAAUGACAAUCUAGUACAGAAAAGUUUUAUCCAUAAGAAAAAAGCAAUGAGCAAUUCGAUUCGUUCAUUUAUAGUAGAUUUCAAUCAAAAAAACCCUGACUUACAUCCGUUCAGCAUUUGGGCCAUAUUUCGCAAACUGCACCAUAAUGUUGCGACCGUCCACAUUGCGGCCUACAAAGAGAUGAAGCAAACAACACAGCACAUAAAAGAUUACAAAAUGCUCACAUAAAAUUCAAUUGUAAAUAUCAUCAAAAACAACGGGGGGAACUUGCCAUCAAGCCUUUCCACUGCCUUCUGAGCCUCAUCAGCAUAUUUAUACCUCACGAACGCAAAACCACGCGAUUCCCCAGUCCUGUAGAUCAAACAUAUUAAAAAAAACGAAUUAAAACAUUAACAAAAAGUAGCAAAAACAUCCAAACCCUAGAAAUCCGCACCCAAGAGCUGAUCUAACUGAAAAAACCCCCAAAAAAAAACCAAAUCUCGAAAUUUUAGGUAGGCACCUGCGAUCUCUGGGGAUGAACACGUCCACCACCUUGCCGUACCGAUCAAAGAGGGGGAAUAGAUCAUCCGCCGUGGUACCUACAAAAAAGCAGCCGAUUUGUAACGAGGUUAUAUGCGAAUCAACGAGAGAGAGAGAGAGAGAGAGAGAGAGAUCUUACGGAAGCUGAUGUUGAGGACGAGGAGGGAAUACGUAUCCUUGAUAUCGGGGGGGCCCGACCUUCCGAAGUGCGACAUAGUUUCUAGGGUUAGGGUUUCGGAGAAGAAGAGAGAGAGGAGGAGAAGCCUCUCGAACGCGAAGAGCCAAGGGCUUAUCGCGAAUGGAAUAUAAGAUGCGGUUCCGUUGAUUCUGAAAAUUUUGCAUAUUACUCCCUGAAGACUCCUCUAAUCAUACAUUACUCCUAAAAAAGUUUCAAUUUACAUUAUAGUCCUUUAUGUUAGGAGAUGUAAAUGGGCUGGGCCGGUCAUCAGCCUAAUAGGCCGAGCCCAAAAAAAAAUUAACCAAUUUUAAUAAUUUAAAAUUAUUUUGAUGAUAACAAUAUAGUUUAACUAUUUUUUGCAAUUUAUUAGGCCACAAACAUGAAUUAAAGUCACACUAUAAAAUAUCAUAUUUAAUUAUUAAAAUUUUUAUUUCAAAUUGCUGAGAGAUUGUGAUUCAUGUAGCAAUAUUAUAUAUACAUAUGGUGUAAUAAGUUGAUUAUAAUAUAUUUUUAUAGUCCCACCGAAAAACAAAAAAAUAUAAUUUUGUAUAUUUUCUAUCUAAAUUUUGUUUUGCCUUGUAGCGAUUCAAUACCAAAGGAGCACUAAAAUUGAAUAGUAUGCUAUGUUUGAAUAGGAGGAGAUUUGAUUUGGUUUGAUCUUAAACCAAAAUUUGAGAAAAUUUGCAAAAAAAUUAAAGUAAAUUAAAAAUUGAAUUAAAAAAUGUAAGUAUUCAUAUAAUAUUAGAAAUAUUUGAUACAUAUAUUUUUCUAAACUGAAUUAUCAUGAUGUAAUUAGCUUUGCUAUUCAAAUUAAUGGUGAAAAUGGGUCAUGAAUUUAAUUAGUGUAAUAAUCCAUAAGAUGCGUCGGAUAAACAAUUUGAGAAAAAAUAAAAAGCAGUAAUAAAGAAAGAGAAAGCAGUGAUUAAAAAAGUGACGAUAACGGGUAAGAUUCAUCUUGCCAAUUAAGAAAGGUAAUAGUCGACGAAAAUAGAAGAGGAACAGUUCGACCCAAUAUAGAGAUGCGACCUGGUUUGGUUCAAGCAAAUAAAAAAAAAAAAAACCUCGGUUCGGUUCAAAUAAAAAAAGAGAAAAAUAUAUAAACGGCUAGAGCCGGUUUAGGAAGCCCGCACUUAACACUGAUUGAUUCGGUUUAAACAAAUAAAGAAAAAAAUUCGGUUCAGUUCAAGUAGAAAAAGAGAAAAAAUAUAUGAAAAAUUUAAACCAGUUCAGAGUGGAGCCUACACCCAAUAACGAAGGAAAAUGUUGUCACGUGGUAAAUUUAGAAAAAAUAAUGUAUAGAAUAUAUGAAGGUAUGGAUAGAUAUGACCGAACUAUUCGUGCCCAACUCAAAUAUUAAUUUGGAGGAGAAAUUUGAUUCGAAUUAUUUGAAUGAGAUUUUUGGUUCAAUUUGAUCAUUUUAUUUUUUGAAUAAUAUUUUACCAUUCCUACUAAUAAAAACCCAAUACUCCGCAAUUAGUAGUUUCCAAACAUAUUCCGACAAAAAUUAAAUAAAUAAAUCAAAUAAACUUUAUCCCUAUGACAUUUAAUUUUUUUAAAAAAUCAUAUGAAUCACCUACUACCGAUCCACGUCGUGACCAUCUCGAAGCAGCACCGCAUUGCAAAAAUGAUAAAAUAUUUUAAACUAAAAUAAAAAAUAUUUUUUAUUUUUCAUUUUAAAUUAUUUUUAUUGUUUUUUCAGCACACAUUUGUUUUAUUAAAUUUAAAUUAGGAAUUACGCUUGAAAUAUAAUAGUAGCUAUUAGCAUAUAUUAUUAUUAUUGUAUAUUUUGUAGGGAAAACUUCAAAAACUCCCUGUGGUUUCGCACUGUUUUAUUUUAGUAUUCUGUGAUUUAAAGUGUAUCAAUUUGGUGCCCCGUCGUUUCAUUUUUCUCUUUUUAUUAUAAAUUUUACUAUUUUUUUCUUAAAUUAGUAACAAAGUUAAAAUUAAAAGGUACUAAAAUGAAUAUUCGAUACAUCUAGGUGAGUAUCUGAAGUUUUUUGUAUAUAAUUUAACGAAAUAUUAACGAAAAAGCUGUCGAAAAGAUAAAAUUGAAACCACAAGGUACCAAAUUGAUACACUUUAAAUCAUAGGCUACUAAAAUGAGAAAAUGCGAAAUUACAGGGAUUAUUUUUUUUGAAGUUUUCCCUAUUUUGCAUUAUAUGAUGACUUGACUUUAUUUUAAAAACAAUUAAAAAUAUAGUUUGAUAUGCGCUAUGCGGUACACCGUCCGAUCAAAGCAAAUCAUUGUUAAUCUAACGGUGAGAAUUCUACCUUUCCGUAUACAUACUAAUGUACGGUUAUUAGUACGACAAGUGUGGUGAAUUGAUCGCGCGGAAAUAAUAAAAACACUGAAUUAAAAUUAAACUCACUAAUAAUAAUCCGAAUUAAUUAAUGAUAAUUAUUGUUGCAUUUAAAUACCGAGAACAAAUCAUGCCACGUGUCAGCAUUACUCGGACACUUAUUAAACCCCUUACACUCUUCCAGAAGCCACUAUAAAAACCCCGCGAUCGUCUUCUUCGUCCUACUCUCUCUCUCUCUCUCUCUCUCUCUCUCCGAGCUCAUCAAUGGCGACUCUGACGAUUCCCGAGGCGAUCCCCUCCCCCGCCGACGAUUGUGAGCAGCUGCGGAAGGCGUUUCAUGGUGACGUAGCCUUUUCUCUCCCCCUGCAUUGCUUCGAUCUCUUCUCGGGAUGGUGGUUUAUGGUUUUGAUCUCGAUGUAUCUCUCUGUGUGUGUCUCUCUCGAUCGGUUUCGAUCGGAUCGCUUGAUCGCGCAGGUUGGGGCACGAACGAAAAGCUGAUCAUCUCGAUCCUCGCCCACCGCAACGCCGCCCAGCGCCGCGCGAUCCGCGAGGCCUACGCUGCGACCUACGGCGAGGAUCUCCUCAAAUCCCUCGACAAAGAGACCACCGGAGACUUCGAGGUGCUCCCUCUUCUCUGAUCCCUGGUUUUUCCUCUUCCGAUCCUUUGGGGGCCGUCUCUGUUGAGAUUUUAGUGGUUUGGGCUUUGUGGGUGGGCGCAGAGGUUGGUGCUGCUGUGGACGCUGGAUCCACCGGAGAGGGACGCGUGGCUUGCGAACGAGGCGAUAAGGAAGUGGCGUCCGGGAAACCGCGUUCUGAUCGAGAUCGCGUGCGCGAGGUCGUCCGGGGAGCUCUUCGCCGCGCGGCAAGCGUACCACGCGCGUUACAAGCGAUCGCUCGAGGAGGAUGUAGCAGUGCACACCACUGGGGACUUUCGUAAGGUAACGGGAGAGGCGAUCGAAGAGUUGCUCUUUUUUUAACAUUUUUUUUUCUUUUUUUCCCUGAUGUUUCCGAUUUAAAAAUCGGAGAUUUACGUUUUUAUGAUGAUUCUUUUCUUAAUCGUUGUGAAAAUUUGAUUUUGGUCGCUUUCUACUUCUCUUUCGAAAGUUUAAGCUAUUGGUUUCGUUUUGUGGUCAUGGUGUUUGUUCUUCUGGUAUAUCCGAGGGUUUAAGAUCCAUUCUUUCAAUGAUUGUUGUCAAAAUUUGAUUUUGACCAGCGAUUUGUCUUUUUUUUUUGAAAGUUUAAGUUAUUGGUUUUUGUUUUGUGGUAAUGGUGUUUGUUAUUUGGUCUUAUCUGGGGGGACUCAGAUCCAGGGAAAACUACUUAUGAACUUGAUUACUAGCUUAUCUACUAUUGAUGUUGAGGACAUUGCCUUUGUGGACCCUACCAUGCGUUUGCUUGUGUUCGUGUGUAAACUUGUUUAAAUGGUACUAAACUACUACAUUUGAUAGAAACAUCUGUAGUUGAUUUAGAUAUUUGUUAUUGGUGAAAGUGUAUGGACUCGAAAACUUGUUAUCUUUUUUAUUGAAUCCCUUUAAACUUUUGAGUUUUGUUUCUAAUUUUAGUUGUUUUCUAAAUUUUAGUUGGGGAUUUGUUGAAAUUAGUAGCUUUGUUAGCUAUCAAAAGUUAACGGUUAAUGAAAGCAGCAGUUCCAUUGGUUGAAAACGUGUUUCGAACAAUUGAACUUAAUAUGUCAUGAUUAAUUGUAAUAAAUUUGGGGGUUCAGUUUAAAAAAAUAACUCAAAUUGAAAGAACAAAAAGGUAAAUGAGUGUAUAUCAAAACACAACAAAAAUUGAUUCAUGAGGGUUUAAUUACUGAAUCACUUCUCAACGGUAUGUUCCGGGUCCGUUUAGAUAAUGAAGAUCUAAUUCUAGGAUAUGUUUCAGGGAGGAUCCGGCGCAGUUUUAGGUGUGGCGGCGUGGUCCCUGUGCAUUAUCAUCUUCGUAUUUUUACACACACUGUUAGCUUCCAUUCUGCGUUGUUCUUCAAUUUCCUGUGAAAAUUUUUUGAGAUAAUUCAAAAUGGAAGAUCGAUAAUUGUAAUUUCAGUCAUAUUCUCUUGUAUCUCAUAUGUAAAAUAGUUACGUAGUGCCAUAAUAUUUCAGUCAUAUUCUUCAAUUUCCUUUGAAUAACUAUCACUGAAUGACAUUCUUUCUCUCAGCUUUUGGUGCCACUUGUAAGCUCAUACCGCUAUGAGGGGCCGGAGGUGAACGCAACAUUGGCGAAAUCAGAGGCCAAGAUGCUGCACGAAAAGAUCUCUGAGAAGGCUCACAACGAUGAGGAUGUCAUUAGGAUCCUCACCACCAGGAGCAAAGUUCAGCUAAUUGCAACACUGAAUCACUAUAACAAUGAAUUUGGCAAUCCAGUUAACAAGGUAUAUGAGCCACUGUACUCUAAUAUUCUACUUCUUUCUUGCAAAUUUAAGAUGUUGUUCUGUUAUAUUUUAAGGCAAAUGGAUUAUUUGAUGUUUUCCUUCGUUUAUUUAUGUCCAUGCUCUGUUAUUUAAUAUUCUACUCAGCUAGUUGUCUGAGUUUUGUUGGUUUGUUUUCCAUUGAGAUGCCUUUUACUGCAGCGAUGUCUCAUUAGCUAGUAUUAGCCUACAAAAGAUUGUUACUGUGUAUAUCUAAAGUCAUUGGUUGGUUGUGGUUUUUCCUGUACAAAGAUGCUUCAUAAUGUCCCUUGAAAUCUUCAUCAACAUGUGAAGGCACAUUAUUUUCCUCCUGCUUACAAUGCAUAUUUGUCUUUUAUCUUUGCCGAGUGCAUUCUUUCGAAGAAAGAAAAAGAAUCUUUGUAGGGUACAAACUAAUUUUAUUUAUUUAUUCAUGCCAAAAGUUUUAGAGGAAAAAAAUGCCGUUGAAAUUCAAAAUUGUCCUCAUUCAAGCAAUAGUACAUCGGGUGGAAUAUAUUAUCUGUUAAGACUAUUUCCUGUGAUAUCGCGGUGUGAGAGCUGAUUCUAAGCCGCCUCCUAUGAUAUCAUGUGUUAUCCGACGCCUAAUGGUUUAAAUCCCCUUCCAUUACCUCCUCUGCUUGCUGCCUCUCUUGUCAGUGCCGCAUCCAUGGUUCAGCAUAUCUCUCAUCUCCACCAUGCGUGCAAGCAGGGAUUUUUAAGAUUUGCCUUUUUGAUCAUUUUUUUUAUGUCGCCACAACCAAAGCUAACUUUAAUCUCCUAAUUGUGGUGCUCUGACUAUCACAGGAUCUGAAAUCUGAUCCCAACGACGAGUUCCUUACUGCGCUGAGGGCCACAAUCAAAUGCAUCUGCUGCCCAGAGAAGUACUUUGAGAAGGUCAUUAGGCUGGCGAUCAACAAGAUGGGGACGGACGAACACGCCCUCUCUCGAGUGAUAGCUACCCGGGCAGAGGUGGACCUGAAAGUGAUAAACGAGGCCUACUACAAGAGAAACAGUGUGCCUUUGGACCGCGCCAUCGCGAAGGACACUCGUGGAGACUACGAGAGGAUGCUUCUCGCCCUCUUAGGGCAGGAGGAUGCUUGAGUUUUGUCAUAUACUGCCGAGGUGGAUUAUGCAGAAUAAAGUUGUGGCGCCGAGUCGAGUGGUGGUGAGUGAAGCUUGUUGUGUAUGUUUGCAAAUAAGCAAAACUGUAUUUGCUAUGUCUUUUGUUGUGUUUGGCCGCAGUUUCGCGAUGUGUUAAAUAUUGUGGGUUUUUUGUUUCCCUCUUUAUGUAAUCGGCACUCUUCUUUGUGUUUGUUAUGCUUAUUCUCUAUCUGAUUUCAAAACCUUGAACCGCCUAUUUUAGCAUGUAAUAAUACCAAAUCGCAUAUAUGGCAAUUAUUCUAGCAGCAGUAAAGGGGGAAAGAGUGAUAAGCUUAGACAAACUACGUUGGGUUUCAGCUUUUGGAUAACAAUUACACCUGAACGCUCGGGCUAUUUAUGCUGAAACUCGAAUUAUACUAUACCUAAAACUAAAGCGGAGAAUAAUAAACAAACUACGCAAGAAUACAUAUUAUAUUUAUACCUACAGAAGCUAAAAGAACAGUAAGUGCUUUAUGAUAAAGCUCCUCUCCUUGUAGCAUAAUGGCAGGAGAAAGAGCUCUCCAAAUUUUGGUAAUGGGGAGUGUGAUCUUUGUUCAGAGAUUACAUAGUAAUGGAGGGGACAACAACAUGGCCUCUUCUUACCUUCUAGAUAUAUGCAUCACCCUUUGAAUCACAUUUUUGAUAGGAUCCUUUCAGAAUAUGGGUGGGUUUGAAGGGCACAUGAAUGAGGACGGCUUUACAUAACUUCUCUUGUGAAUAUAACUCUGGAAAAGAAGAACAAAUUAAUAUCAGAAACUUUCUGGAUUCUUUCCAUUUUUUACUUUUUUGAUAUACUUAUACAUAUAAAACCAUACAAAGUUCUAUGCUUACAUAGACACAUUCCUAUAAAAUCUGAAUUUCAUGCAUGUCCGUCAAAAACUUAAUGCCUAGCAUAUGUCAUAUGUAAAUAUUGAGAACCUAGAAAACUCUGGUUUUAAAAAAUUUGUUUGAGAACAAAACCAACUUCUCCAGUGAAUUGGAUGACUCUCCUACUUAAAAUUGGGGUAUUCUAAACAAGGAACUGCACUUUCAAAGCGAAUUGUAGAUUCUCCAAGGUACUCUACGUAAAUAGAUAGUUUACAAACAAUCAUACACAUAACAAUCCUUCUCCUAUUAAGUUAAUGACCAGGUUCGUUUUCGUUAAUAAUAAAACUAGCUUAAUGUAAACAUCUCCAUUCGUGGCCUCAAUAAUUUUUUUACCAGAGGUGAUUCAUCUUACUUUCAGUCGAUAGAGAUCUUUUAAAACUUAGAUUUUCUUUGACUUUUUUUCUUCUUUAUUUCUGCAACAUAUUCUAUCAUCUAUUGAUGGGGAACCAAGCUAUGUAAUCUAAUUGAAGUUGUUUACUUUUAUAUUAAUCUUCAUUGUUGCAAUUUGAACACUACAUCCUACAGAGACUCUUGUACAUUUAGUCAGAUAAAUUAGUCGUAUACAUUCCAUGAAAAUUGUUUUCCAAGACGGUGAUAAAAGAGAAACUAGAAACACUUCUAAUUACUGAAACCAUGAAAAUUAACAAUUUGCUGCCACAACAUCUCAUAUUCGCCUCAGAGUCCAGAAUCAACACCACCAAAUAUAAGAUUCGAAAGAAAAUUCGUCAGAAAUCAUUCAAAUAACACGCUUUCCGUGACGGUCGACGUUUGUAAGCAACAACAAGCAUGUUACAUAACAAGUCUGCAAAUGAAUCUGUAUAAACAUACCCACCCAGUGUACUUGUAUGUUGUUGUCAUAUUUCGUAAAUUGGUUAAACCAGUGCGAUGCUGCUCUCCCCGCCAGGGGGUUUCCGGACACCACCAAAAUAAUCUCGGGCGGCAGCCUUCCCGUCGGAGAAGAUAUUGCUGCCGCUAAUUUCUUUCAACUUCGCCGUGCUUAGCAUUUUCUCGGCGCACCCGAGGGGUGCAUCUCCUUUGAAAAUAUUGUUGCCGGUUAGAUCUUGAAACUUUUGCGUAUGAAUUUUCUUAGCUGUCUUUAUUGCGGUCUCUUCGUUGGAGAUGACGCCACUCAGAUCUCCAGCUCGCUGCAGAAGUCAAUUUUCAUAACCAACAAAAUGAGAAGAUUCAUGCAUCCAUAGUGUUUUAUUUUAAAAUUGCAGCAUGGUUGUGCAGCGAGGAACUGAUUUAAUCUCAAAGGUUGAAAAGCAAGCUAAUGUUGCACAAAUGCUGUGAUAUUACAAAUUUCAGAAAAUGGAUAUAUUUUGCGAAAAUGCUCAAGUUAAGAUUAAUGCAUAGAAGGCCAACACAAUUACUAUCUCACUUACAUAUGAUACUUCGGCAGAAGUAUAAAUGUUCUUAGAGUGGUGAAGCGCAAAAUCCAAGUGGCCUCUUAAGUCCAGAUUCCGUGGUGCUAAUGGUCUUAUAGGAAUCUCAGGAGGAGGGCUGAAGAUGUUGUGCCCGUUAAGUUCCUUGCUUUUUGCUUCUGAAAUCUGCUUCUUGAUUUCAGCUUCGGUUUCUCCCUCGAGAGUCCCGCUUAGCUCUCGCUGCUUCGCUACCUCAGUUAGUGUGGUUGGCUUCUUUGGCGGAACACUCUCUUCGGAACCAAAUGAGAUCUGGCUGAUUGCGCUCACCACUUGCUGGAGGACGAGGAGAGAGGAUUGGUUCAUCCCAACUUAUUGUACAGCAUAUUUCAUUUAAACAAUUAUGGCACACUAAGAGAAAUGCAGAUGACAAAAUGUCACAAUAGCCAUAGCAGAAGCAACAGACACUUAGCUAACAUUCAAUAGUUUGACUAAAUUGCAUAAUGGACUAUCUCCUCCUUAAUAGAUAGGAGGCACAAAGUGUUCCUAAAGUGUUAUCUUUGAAUAAAUAUGGAAGGUAGAAGCAAACGUAUACCCCUCUAAAAUCCGAAUUUUUUAUAUAUUCCCUUCAAAAACUUGAUUUCUACAUCUAUACCCAAAUAUUAUUAAAAAAUUACCUCUUUAAAAAUUGUUUGUUUCCAAUACAAAGUCAACAUAAACCCUGUGAAUUGCAUGAUGCCCCAACUUAGGAUAAGAGUAUUUUCCAACAAAAUGCUCUUUUGAGGGGUUAUACACGAGAAUUCAGAUUUUUACAAGGGAAGAUACAUAAAUAGGUGAUUUUGCAGGAGGCAUAUGAAAAUAGGGUUGUUUAAGCUGCACAUAUUCAAAGGAAAGAGAAGAGUAGAAAAUCGUAUGUCAAUAGCACAGCACGGUAGGCGGAAGUCACAGAACAAAACUCCAUUUAAUCAAGAAAUGAUACCUGAUACAUUCGCAAAGCUGUCUUAUUAUCAGGAUUGGAAAGAGAAGAAUCAGUCUCUGAUUCACCAUUUUCGCCGUUGGCAGCGAAGAUACCACUGCCAGUCAUCUCCCUCAACUUCGAGACAGAGCAAGGUUUCGUGGCACAGCUGAAUUUUAUGGUUGGCAAGAGAAGAUUAAAUGAGACACAUGGUAAUGUUGUAAAUGAUGGGUGGUAGAAAAUCAAAACUAGUUGUUGAAUUAGGUAGAUAUCUUUUAGAGCAUCUGGUAAGUUAAGCGAACCCUGCCUAUACAUCAACAGUACUAGUGAAAGCAAAAGAAUCACUAGUUACCAUAUUAAGAUGCUCCAAUCCAAAUAUUAUAGCAAAAGAACUAUUAUCAAUUUUUUUUCUUUUUUGAGGAUUAAAAAAGAAAGAACAGUAUCUCUGAAGUUUUCAAACUAUAUUCUAUGAAUAAGAGCGAGAAAAUAGAGGUAAAUGCUCAGCCUGAAGAUAUCCACAGCAAAAAUACCACAUGAAGCAGAGAAUCCUAAGUGGAACAGAGGGACCGGAGUAAAGAGAAAAGGAUGAGAAGGAACCUAACUGUAGUUAUUUGUUAAUAACUUGAAAAGAACUCUCGAUGUCACAAAUCACAUCCAAAUCACAAUGUCAUAGAAUGUCAUAUAACAAACAUGAAGUUACAACUAAAAAAAUCCACUGAGAAAGAACAUCUAUUUGUCUCUUCAAAUGGAUCAGUACAUUGAAGUUGUGUUUCAUGAUUCCAUUUGGUCCUGUAUCUUAUUUCUACCGCUAGAGCGAAGACCAAUAAGCUAAAACAUUGUUAUGCUUCACCUUGAUCUUUAGCUUGUUGCAUCCAUACCAUGAGGAUAUUUAUUAGUUUUGUCGCGGAACAUGAACUAGAGCAGAACCAGAUGUAAAUUAAUUAGCAGAACAAGUGAACCUAGAAGUUUCAAAUAUUUGAAUAAAACUGUUUCAACUUAAUUUUACGGAUAGUUUACAAUCACGCUUGUUAAAUCUAACAAACAACUGAAAAUCGUCUCUAUUAAAUUAUAUUCGAAGGAGAAAAGGAAAAAAAAAAAAAGAAGAAGAGUGUAUCCGGAAUACGAGUAGUCAACUAAUUAUCUAAUUUUCUACAACUUUAAACUCUUCGAAUCCACCGACAACAUCGAAAAGGGAGUAAAAAACUGCGAGAUUUAAGUUCAACGGAUCAGGUAAAACCAGCAGAUCAUUAUAGAUACGAACAUAUCGCAAAAAAAGUGAAUCAAAGUAGAGCACAUUUGUCUUUUAAAGAGUGGUACAGCAUCCAAAUCGCCAUUAUUUCGAUCGGAUCAGAGAACACAGCACUAAGGAGUACAAAGGAGCCCUAGUUCUCCUAAUCCACGCAACGAAAAAACCCUAGCUACGGAUCGAUCUCACCUCUUGCUGACGCUCUCCGCCUCUUCCUCGGUCAUCGGGGCCCCGAACAUCACCGGGCUGAUCCCUCCCAUCCGCUGCGAGAAACGAAUCCCCGAAACCCUAAGCCAUCGCCGGAAGAGGAUGAAGGGGGAGGGAGGGUGGAGGGGUUCAGGGGCUCACCUUGGCUGCGGCGGCGGCGGCGGGGGCGAUCGGCGGCGGAUUCUCCGGCCACGCGAGUAGGUCGGAGGUGGAGGCGUGGGGCCUCCGCACGGGGACGCUCCUCCCCUCCAUUCCCCCCCUCUCCUCUCUCUCUCUCUCUCUCUCUCUCUCUCUCUCAGUAUACGCUAUUAUUGUAGUAUGAAGCGCGGGGGGUGUGGAGGUAUUUAUAGGUGGUCGCGGUGCUGAGCUGGCACCGGCGCUCAUUGGUUCGCGGUUGGUCGUUUCCCUCGCUUCACGCAGAGGAAACUGGACCGGUAAUGCAGUUUCUCCAUGAACCUGGUUCACCACGUCAUCCGUGAACCGCACAAUUUAUGUAUCUUUUACCAAGGACUUACAUGCGAGUUAUAUUAUUUUUAUUCUUAAAUAAUCGCGAUUUAACGAUUCUAAAUCUGUUUUAGAUUUAAGGAUAUGAUUUUUUGAGUUAUGAAUGGGAGGAAAAAGGGGCCGCUUGAGGCUGACGUGGUGGACAGGGUCGAUGGAAUUUUUUACACGGAGGGAUUACUCUUUGGAGAUGACGUGGCAGGGUCUCAUUGGUCGGGUGAGAGUGAGGCCCCCUUUUUACUUGGCUUUCCAAACAAGUUCCUAACGACUCUCACACAUACAUGGUACGGCAUUAAUAUUUGAUUUAAUUAAAAAGUGAAAAAUAUAUAAAUUUAAAUAAGGAAAUUGAUAUUUGUCAAAAAUAAUAUUUUAUUAUUGUCACUGUUACGAUAAACGCACAAACGGAAACAAAAUGACGAACACAAAAAACAAUCAAAUCACAAGCAGAAAAUAAAGAGACACAGAUUUACGUGGAAAAAUCUUUUGCAGGAAAAAAACCACGGGCAAGGGAGGAGAGAGCUUCACUAUGGAACGAAAAGGGAAUACAAUGUUCUUCUGAUUACAACCGACCACGAUCAUACGCCUCUAGGGCAAAAACGAAAAGGAAAACUUAUAACGGGUUUCGGAUCCGAUACCCAUUACAGACAUUCAUUUUUCCUUCAUAAUUUUCUUUUCCAAAUUGGUCGCACCGCGAAGCUGUCGACGAGUCGUAAACCCGAACGUGGAAACGAUAGUAGAUUUCGAGUCACAUCUGGCAGUCACAAUAAAAACUUUUAUUAAAAUAUGUCUAGAUAAAAUAUAUGUACUUUGAUAAUCAUAAAUAUUGCUUAGAUAAUAUCUAUUAUUGCUAGAAUAGAAAUAUUUAAAAUAUUACUAGGUAUAAUGAAUGUGCUCUAUAUAAUUAAAAUAUAUACUGAAACCGGGCCAAGUCAUUUUUCCUUAUAAUUUUUGAGAAUUACAGAUAUUAGAAUCAAUUAAGUAAAAAAUUUUAUUUCAUUCCAUAAUCUAUUAACUAUUAGUUAUUCUAUUAAUUAAAAGUGAUUAAAAUUAUUCAAAUUAUUGAUGAAUUUGAUAAAAAUAUUUAAACUUUUUAAUUAAAUCAUAUUUAUUUAUUAUUUACUAUUUAAAUCAGCUUUUAUUGUUUUUAAAAUGAUUCCCACCCAUCAUGUUAAGCUGGUUUCUUCAUUCUUUAAUAUUUGACUUAAACAGAGUUGCAUUCAAGUUUAUUUAAUUUAAACAAUUUUUUGAGAAAAUAAUAAUUUAUCAAAUAUAGUACUUUAUUGAUAUAUGUAAUAAUAAAUCUUUGUAAAAAAUUAAAAUAGAAAUUAUGAGGCUAUAUUUUGACCUUGGCUUAAUGGAGUCAGCAUCCUACUCUGUGGUGUGAGGCUAUGUUGAGCCGAGUCAUAUUCGAAAUGGCGUGAGGUUGGAUGAGCCGAGUUAUAUUUGAAGUGGCGAGAGGCUGAGUGGGAUGAGUCACAAUCGAGACCCAUGAGCGUUGUAUCUGUACGCUUUAAGUGAAUUAUUUGUGUAUUUCUAACAGCUUGAGCUUUUGGGAUUAAUAGUUAUCGCCGACGAUCGGACAAGUGGUAUUAGAGCUAGAGGUCACAGAUUCGAUUUCCGCAUGCUGCAAAUAUAUCUAGGUGCUGGUGCUGGAGGGGGAAUUGUUAGUUUAAAUGGGUCAGUAUCCCUCCCUGUGGCGGGAGGCCAUGUUAGGCCGAGUAGUUAUGUUCGAAGUGGCAUGAGGCUGAGUGAGCCGGCAUUGCUGGAGGGGGGAUUGUUCGUUUAAAUGGGCCAGCAUCCCUCCCUGUGGCGGGGAGGCCAUGGUGGGCCGAGUAGUCAUGUUCGAAGUGGCAUGUGGUUGAGUGAGUCAGCAUCCCUCCUUAUGGCGGGAGGCCAUGUUUAUGUUGGGCUGAGUAGUCAUGUUCGAAAUGACAUGAGGUUGAGUGAGCCAGCAUCCCUCCUUAUGGCGGGAGGCCAUGCUGGGCAUGCUGGGCCGAGUCAUGUUCGAAGUGGCAUGAGGCUGAGUGGGCCGAGUCGCAAUCGAGACCUGUGGUCACUGUAUCUGUACGCUUUAAGUGAAUUGUUUACGUAUUUCCAACCGCUCGAGCUUUUGGGAUUAAAAAUAACCUACUUUUUCACUUUUUCUCGCCAACUUUCAAAAAUCUAUAUUUUAUCCCCUUAACAUUUCAAUUAUUGCAUUUAGCCCUCUUCCAUCAAGAUUUCAUUAUUAUGCCAUCUAUUUCUUAUAAUUUAUAUCGAAAAUAUCUUUCAAAAUGAUAAAAAUAUAUUAAAAAAUUAUUUUUUCUUAUAGAAGAUGUAAGGGUAAUUUGGUUAUUUUGUGCUCUUUAUUAACGUAGUCCCGUUCUGAAAAUAUUUUUGAAAUUUUAAGAGGACAAAAUAUAAGUUUUGAAAGUUGGAAAGAAAAGGUAAAAAAAAAAGGACAUUUACAGAGAGAAUUUUUAUAAUUUAGAUAAAAAGAAAAACUAAAUUACCACUAUUAUUUAGAAAUCAAUUUUACCACAAAAAUAACAAGCACAUCUUCAAACCAAAAACUCAAACCAAAGACAUUUUAUUUCAUUAACCAAACCAUCAAAGUCCAAAAUCACCCAGAACAAAAAUUUUAUGAGAACAGUCUCAAAUUUCAGAGUUGUACCAAUCUGGCGAGAAGCAGCAGAUAGAAAAGUCUUACAUUGGUGACUGUUCCUAUGAAAUUUUUGUUCUUUCAGAUUACACUGCUAAAUCAGGUGUUGCCGGUUGUUGGGGCACAGGUCACGGACGGCGUAGAGCCGGUACGGCGAGGCAUCGGUGGUGAGCCACUGCUCGACGGUGAACAGUGCCUGCCGUCGGAUGUCAGGUUCAUCCAGCACGGCGGCGACGGCAGACACGGCCAGUACUGCAACUACGUCGAGGCCACGUUGGCGGCGCCGCAGCCAGAUUUGGUGGAGUGGUCUGAAGGGUAGACACUAAAAUUAAAUUUUUUACCUUCAAAUUUUUCAUUAAUUAUAGAAAAAACUUUAAAUACUGCUCAUGUGGUAUCAUAUUUUUUCAUUUUAAUAAUCCAUAGUUUAAAAUGUAUUAUUUUAGUACCUAUAGUUUCGUUCUUCUCUUUUCGCUAUCCCCUUUAAUUUUUUUUCAUUAAAUCAGUGACAAAGUUAAAACCACAGAAUACUGAAGUGAAAAUUCGGUAAAUUACAGAAUAGUAAAGUGAAUAUUCGAUAAACAAUAGGUGGAGUAUCUAAAGUUUUCUAUAUAUGAUUUAACGAAAAAUUAACGUAGGUGUUAACGGAAAGAAAAAAAAAAUGAAACUACAAAGUACCGAAGUGAUAUACUUUAAGGUAUAGGGUACUAAAGUGAAAAAGCAUGAAACCACAAAACUGUUAUUUGAAAUUUAUCUUUAAUUCUAAACCAAAAAUAAUGAAAGGGAGACACUAAGAUUAAAACUUUACCUUCAAAGUUUUCAUUAAUUUUAAAUAUUAAUGAAAAAUUAAUUAAAAUUUUAAUUAAUUUUAAAAUUAGGGAAAAACUUCAAAAACCCUCCUGUGGUUUCGUAGUUUUUCACUUUGCCCCUCUGUGGUUUAAAAUGUAUCAAUUUGCCCCCCUGUGGAUUCUUUUUUUUUUUUCUUAUAGUUUUCAUUAUUUUUUUUUCUUAAAUCAGUGAUAAAGUUAAAAUUAAAGGGUACUAAAGUGAAUAUUUGUUAAAUCUAGAUGGGUAUCUGAAGUUUUUUUUGUAUAUAAUUUAAGAGGAGGGUGUAAUAAAAGAUCUUCAUUGAUUCAGAUGCUGAGAGGAAUAUUUCCGAGGUAGGAGGAAAUUUGAGGUCACGCAGUUAUAAGAUCCAUUUUUAUAAUUUUUCUAUUUUUAUGUAAAUAUAAGAUAAACAUGUAUAUAUAUAUAUAUUUUUAUAUCACCUAACCAUGCUUGAAAAAAAAUAUUCAUUGAGGCUCAAGACCUUAUAUUAUUGUACUAUUAAAUUAAUUAAUUACUCUAAAAAACAAUUUUUUUGUUAAAGAAUUAAAGCUUAUUUUAAAAGAUUAAACUGCUAGAUAACAAAAUCAUUCGCAUUAUAAAUUUAAAAUAUGAAUUCAAAUUCAUAUUUCAAUACAAAACAAAUAUUUAAUUUAUAUAAAUUUAAAUUUUUAUUAAAUAAAUUCAAUCUUAGGUGUUACUUCAAAAAUACCAAACACUCGCUUGGAUUAAAUAAAAACUCUUUCCACAGUUUUCAUUUUUGAUUUAGAACAUUUGAAAAAUAAAAACACUAUGUCUAUAAAAUCUAAAAAAAAUAGAAAAUCUAUUUUUACUAUGAACCAAAUGAAUCGACCAGAAAAUUAUUUUCUGUAAAAUAACCAAACACUCUCUACGAUGGGGGAAAAAAUAUAUAUAUAACUUAUCUGAACUAUGAACUAUUUUGAAUUAAAUAUCUAAUUUCUCAAAAUUUUAAUUUUUACAUCCAACUUUCUAAGCUAAUUAUUUUUUUAAUAAAUUUAUUAUUGCGAGAAUUAUAUAAAAUACACUAAUUAAAUCUGUAUAAAUAAAUAAUGUAAUUCAAAAUUUUGGACCGAUUCAAAUUAAAUAAAUUAAAAAAAUUAGCAAAAUUAAAAUAUUUAAAAAUUAGGAAAGGGCUGCAUGCAACGGCGCCAGCGCAGCAGGCAGGUGCCGCGCCCGGCAGCCACGUAGAGAGAGCGUCCGACGCCACGACGCCCGCCCGCCCACCCAAACCGUUUUAAAACCGCCUCCCUUCCCGCAAACUUAUCCCCUGCACCCGGUGCAAUCCACGAACGUCCGCGCACCAAACACUCAAUCUUACUCGUAUUGGCUUAAAUGGACUGGCAUUCUGUUAUGUGAUGGAAGGGUUUCAAAAUGAAGGAAGAUCGUGUUGAGAUGAGUAGUGGUCGAACUGAUGUUAAGCUGGUUGAACCGAGUAAAUACUAUAUCUGUACGCUUUUAAUAAAUUAAUUGCGUAUUUUUAAUAACCUGAUGGUUCGGACGCCGAAAUAGGAUAAUCUAAUAAUAAUUUAUGUGACAUGAAAAAGCACGACACUGAGCGCGUUAGAGGGGCGGGCGGGCGUGCGGGCCGUGUGGCAGUCCUGCGUUCAAGGAGACAAUCCGAAUGCCGAGCACGCCUCGCUCCCACGCCACGCCACGCCACGCCACGAUUUUCGCACCGACCGUCUCUAUAGUAAGUGACAAAGAGCUUGGUGAUUGAUACUCGAAACUCAAGUUCGAAUCCUAGUUGAUUCACAUUUCCAGCUAAGUUUAUUUUCUAAAUGAAAUAAACGAAACGGAUAGCGUACUAUCUAUCUCUCAAAAAAAAAAAAAAAAUUAAUCGUAUCUUGCGCACUUGGUUAAAAAAAAAGAAGUUAAUAUUUAAAUUUUAAACUUAAAAUUUAAGUACAAAAUGAACUGAACUAUUUUCUAAAUAAUACUAAAAUGUUAUCUAAAUAUUGAUGUUUUGAAAUAGCAUGAAAUCAGAAUCACUCUUUCAACAAAUUGGAUUUUCAGAGUAGUCAGUUUAUGAGUAAUUCUUUGAUAUAUUAUUUUAUAUGUAGAGGUACUAUUUGGUGCUUUUGGUUUUUGGCAUUUAUAUCAAGAAUUGUAGGAUGCCAAUGAUAGUGAUCUUCUUAAGAUUUAAUGAUCUUUUUAUGAAUUAACAUUAAUUUAAGAACCAUAAGUGGUCAAAGAGUUGAUUCAACAAUUAAAAAAAUUAGAAACAUCAAUUUUUUUAUACUUCUGAAAGUACUAUAAUUGAACUUUUACAUGUGCAUAGUAUUUAUAUAUAUAGUUCAUCUAAUAGUUCGUCUAAUAUUACUGAUAGUAUAGUUCAUCUAAUAUAGUAGAAGUUAAUGGUUUGAAAUAGGGUUAAUUUUAUGCAGAUUCAACAAACAUAGUGAAUAACAGAUCUAUUUCUAUAAAAUUCAACUUUUAUAUGUUGUUUCUGUAAAAAUUUUAAUAAUUUCAAAUGUGAAUCCUCUGAUUUAUUACUGUUAAAGAAUCGUUAGAGAACUGUUUAUAUUAUUAAUUUUUUCAUCAUAAAUAUGUUUUUCUAAAAAUCAUAACAGUAUAGUAUAAUAUGAGAGCAGUAAAAAUGUCAAAAACUAACCAUUUUAUGGUUAACUAUUUUUUUCUAACGGAUUCUAACAGUAGAAAUAUAUUUAAAAAUAUCAGGACUUUUAUAGGUAAAAUAUAUGAAAGUUAAAGUUUAUAAAAAUAUAUUUAUUAUUUAUUAUGUUUGUAGAAAUUUGUAUGAAAUUAAUCCUUUUAUUAAUAGUGGGAGUUUCCUAUAAUCCCUCCGUAUAUUUCUCUCUCUCUCUUUCUCUUCCUAUCAGUAGCUUCUAUUUAAGUCCUUCCAACAUCCCCCUCCUCCCUUUGCGUUCUGAAAAAGCCCCUGAUAGUUUCUGGUAAACAGAGAAAAAACUCUCUCUCUCUCUCUCUCUCUCUCUCUCUCUCUCUCUCUCUCUCCAUUGCCAUUGUGUAUUUGAUUAUGUAUGUGCUUACACAAUUACACUUGCAGGUUCAAAAUCCAAAUCAACCAUUCAAACCUACAUACAUACAUACAUGAAAUGGCUUCUCAAGAAGCUGCAGCAGGAACAAGCAAUAAGCUGAAAGUAGGCCGAACAACGGAGUACCGAAUGGGCGCCAACACUGAGCUCCUGAACAUCACCGCCGGCGGCGGCGGCGGCUGCGAUGGCGAGGGCACAAAGCUUUUCCUCUUGUGCGGCGCCGACCGGUUCGAGUCGGUUCGACCCUUCCGGUCCGGUGAAUUCUCGGUCCACAUGGUUCGGGUCAAGGGGAGGCCCAUUUCCCUGGUCACCUGCAUGGUGGAUGAUCACCGGUGGAUGCUCGCGAAGGACGCGAUGGCCGGCCGGGUCGAGGCCCGCAUGUUUGUUUUCGGGCUCCCGGGCUUUUUCUACGGGCUCGAGCUGCCGGGUACGGGUGAUGGAAUUGAGGAGAAGCUAAAAAUGUUGGAGGAGAUUUUUGCAAGUUUCUCUGCUAAUAGAGAUCUCACUGUAGAGGAUGGUAAGCAGCUUUUUUUAAUAUAUUUUUUAAAAUAUUUUAUCAUUCAAAAUAAAUUUAAUGUAAGAUUUUUUUUUAAAAAAAAAUUGUAAAAAUAUUUUGUGGGAUAGUUGGUAAGCGAAACAAAUUAAUUUGUCAAAUUUUUAACUUCUAAAUUUUACGCAAUUAAUUCCGAUAUAUAUUAAUUAAUAUGUUGUAACGGAAUAUUCCAUUUUGGUACCUGCGGGUCCCGGCCCGGGUGGUAACGGUAAAAACGAACUGGACAAUCCGUGGGCCCGGGCCUACACCAAGAUCGCGCCGCCAUCGCGGCGGCGGCGGCGGCAAAAUCGUCGACGGCGGAGCCUGAGCUCGUCCAGCAGGCCGUGCGGAGCUCCGCCGCCGUGAAGAUCCUCGCCCGCUCCCUCCUCGCCGGCGCCCUCAAGCCCGCCAAACACCUCCUCCUCCUCCACGGCGGUGGCCCGGCGGCGGCUCUGCCGACCAUGUCGGCUGUGGCGGCGCUCCUGACUGCCAUCGAGACGGGCCAAAUACCUUCGGCGGCGAUGGCAGCUGUGAGUGGUGCGGAACCCGAUGUGGGCGGCGGCGGCAGCGUGGGGUGGUGGUAUGUGAACGGCGACGGCAUGGCCCUGCUUUUGAGGGUAAUGCGCUUCGCGCGUGCGGAUAGCGCUGUCCCGGCGGUGGCGGUGGCGGUGGCAGCUGCGGAGAGGGAGAGGAAGAGGCCGCGGCAGCAUGAGGAUGAGGGUAAACGCGGGGAUCGAGAAGCGCGGAGCGGGGGGGCCGGCUAGGGCUUUGGGGGCGUGGCUGCGNCGGCGGCGGCGGCGGCGGACGCGAAUUUGAACACGGCAACAUCCUAACUUUGACUUAGGCUUAAUUUGAAAAUGCAAAAAUCAAAACAAAUUUAUUUUCAUGCUUUUAAAAGAUUUUUAAAAAAUUGAAUGUGGUUAAGAGAUAUUUCUUAUUUGUAUUUAUCUUUCGAUGUAGGGAAAUUGAACUCUAGAUAUACUUGGUUAGCGCAUUUUCAAAUUAGGCAUACUCUACAAAUUUGUGCAAUUUUAGAAACGGUUAGGUUGAAUGUAAUUAUUAAUAGGAGAUGUAUAUAUGUAGUUAUAAAUAUAGUAGUUAUUUUGCAUACGUAUUUUACAUAUGUACGUUUAGCGUAUUUUCAAAUUAGGCAUAUUCUCCUACAAGCUUGUGUAAUUUUAGAAGUUAUUUGGUUGAAUAUAAUUAUUAAUACAGUGUAGUUGAAGAUAUAUAUAGUUAUAAAUGUAGUAGUUAUAAUUAUAUAGAUUUUAUUUGGUUCGAUGUAGUAGAAGGUAUAGUAACUAUAAAUAUUUUAUUUGAUUAUUAGCAGUUGACAAGUGCAUUUAUAAAUUUUAUUUUUUUUAUAUAUGAGAUAUGGUGAGAUUAUCUUUUAUAUAGAAAAAAAUUACUUUUUGCUUGAAAAUUAAUAAGGAGGUAAGUUUUUUUUAUUUAAUAUUUUUUUUUUCAAUUAAUGCAGUUGGAACUGUAGUCAAUUUGGCGUAGUUUCAAUUGCUACAUUUGAACAUUCUCAUACAACUUCAAUUUUUGCAAUUGAACUCAAAUUCAUAAAUCAAAGGAAUGAUCUAAAUUUGCAUGUAGUUGUAGCUGUAAUGUAUUUGUAACUAUCUGCAUCUAGACAGUCCUUUAGUGCAUGUAAACUAUUUCUGUUUUAGCAUAAAUAUUUUAGUUAAUUUGUUGAGUUUUUUUUUUUUGCCAAGUUUUAAACAUAAUAGCAAAUUACACAAUUUAUCCAAUUAAAAUUCUCCAUAUCAGUAUGAAUUUGCAAAGGUGAGAAAUAACGUGAUUAAAAUCAAUCUUCAAAUCUCCUAAUUGUGGUGAACUCUUUUUUAGUUUUACUUUUUUAAUUUUAUUUAUUUUAUAUAAUUAUUUUGUUUUUCUAAGUUUUCNUAGUAACUAUAAAUAUUUUAUUUGAUUAUUUGCGGUUGACAAGUGCAUUUAUAAAUUUUAUUUUUUUAUAUAUGAGAUAUGGUAAGAUUAUCUUUUAUAUAGAAAAAGAAUUACUUUUUGCUUGAAAAAUUAAUAAGGAGGUAAGUUUAUUUUUAUUUAAUAUUAUUUUUUUCAAUUGAUGCAGUUGAAACUGUAGCCAAUUAAUUUAGCGUAGUUUCAAUUGCUACAUUUGAACAUCCUCGUACAAUUUCAUUUUUUGCAAUUGAACUCAAAUUCAUAAAUCAAACGAUAGAUCUAAAUUUGCAUGCAAUUGUAGCUGCAAUGCAUUUGUAAUUAUGUGCAUCUAGACAGUCCCUUAGUAUAAACUAUUUCUGUUUUCGGAUAAAUAUUUAGUUAAUUUGUUGAGUUUUUUUUUUUAUCUUUUUUGUUUUAUUUCUUUUUCUUUUUCAGUAGUAUUACUUGCCAAGUUUUAAACAUAAUAGCAAAUUACACAAUUUAUCCAAUUAAAAUUUCCCAUAUCAGUAUGAAUUUGCAAAGAUAAGAAAUAACGUGAUUUUUAAAAAUCAAUCUUCAAAUCCCCUAAUUGUGGUGAACUCUUUUUUAGUUUUACUUUUUUAAUUUUAUUUAUUUUAUUUAAUUAUUUUAUUUUUCUAAGUUUUCUUUAUUAUUAUUAUUAUUAUUAUUAUUAUUAUUAUUAUUNGAUCGAAUUGUCUUAAUUUGUAUGGCUGAAUUUAUUUUCUAUAUAAAUGAUGCACUACCUUUUUCUCUAAAAAAAGGUAUAUAAAAAGUGCAAUAUAUAUGUAUGACUUUUUAUCAAGGAUUUUUUUUUUUUUUGCUUAAUAAUGUGUUAAAUAUCUUGGAAUUGGAGACAUCUCCACCCUUAAUAGUUUUGAUACUUUAAUGAUGAGUUUCUUAGUGGGUUACUUAACUUAAUCUUCGAAGUGAUGAGCAAUUGGAAACUAGGAUUACGAAGAAUUAAACUAAUUAGCUAGUCACACAUUUGGUCAAUUAGAAAUUAUAUAUAGAGUUGAGUUAGAAUACUCUCAAAAGCACCAGGGGGAUGGUGCUUUUGAGUUUUUAACCAUUGGAUGAAAAAAUGUAGGGUUGAAAUGAUGAUAGUAGGUGGUGGUAGGUGGAAUAGUGUUUGACCCAUGGAGUAUUAGUAAUUAAGAAGUAGAUCCAAGGGCUAGAUUAGAAGCACCAAGGGAUUGGUGCUUCUAAAAGUUUCAAAAGUAUUUAAUUAGCUCAAUUCACUAUAUAUAUAUAUAUAUAUAUAUAUAGAGAGAGAGAGAGAGAGAGAGAGAGAGAGAGAGAGAGAGAGAGAGAGAGUUAGGCUGGUAUACUAACGGUAGCACGGAGGCAUCCGUGCUACCAAGUUGUUUUCAAUGAUGUGGCUUCCAAAUUGACGAUCGGCUUCGUUAGACUUGAUCUACACUAUUGAAAGUAUUUGGAAACUAAAUUUCAUAAUUUUUCGACAUCAUUUGGCUAGUGAUAAAAAGGUCUUAAAAUUAACAAUUUUAGUGGUAGAUUUGAUGCGUUUGUGAAUUUAACGGUGUAAAACAAUUCAAAUUUGAUACAAUUUUUAUAGAAAAUUUUUUUCACUAUUUAGAGUAAGAUCAGUAUUUUUGAUCUUAAAUUCAAGUCUGUUAUGAUAAUUUUUUAUGAAGUUUUUAUUUUCAGCCAUUUAUUUUUAGACUACUCGUUUGAUAGGUAAAUGAUACCGAAAAAUUAUGAAAUUUAGUUUCCAAAUACUUUCAAUAAUGUAGAUCAAAUUUAACGGAGCCAAUCGUCAAUUUGGAGGUCGCAUCAUUGAAAACAACUUGGUAGCACGGAUGUCUCCGUGCUAUCGAUAGUAUACCAACCUAACUCUCUCUCUCUCUCUCUCUCUCUCUCUCUCUCUAUUUAUAUAUAUAUAUAUAUAUAUAAAUAGAGAAGGGCUACUAUACUCUUAUGAGUAUAGAAGCCUUCGUACUCAUAAGUUGUUUUUGAUGUUGGGGCUUCCGAAUCGAUGAUACACACCGUUAAAUAUAAUCUAGAGUAUUUGAAACUUCUAGAAAAUAAAUUUCGUAAUUUUUCGAAAUCAUUAUAAAAUCCAUCAAGUGGAUAUAAAAUGAACAGUCAAAAGCGAACAAUGUCCUAAAAAUGGAUGAGCGGAUCAUUCAAUUUAAGAUCGGAGUUAUUGAUCUUUAUCUAGGUAAUGAAUAGAAUUUUCUAUCAGAAAUUCAGGCUAUUUCAAUUCUUUUAUACCGUUAAACUAAAAAGUAUCACAUACCGACCGUUAAAAAUUGUCAAUUUUGUGAGCAAUUGAUCGUAAGGUAAAUGAUAUCGAAAAAUUAUAAAAUUUGAUUUCUAGAAUUUUAAAUGCGCUAGAUAAUAUUUAACAGUCUGGAUCAUCGAUUUGGAAGCUCUAUCAUCGAAAACAAUUUAUGAGUACGAAUGCGAUCGUACUCAAAAGAGUAUAUAGUAGCCGGACUCUAUAUAAAUAUAUAUAUAUAAUACAUACAAUUGUAAGAGUCUACAAAGAAAGUGGUAACCCAACUUUUAAAAAACAAAAAAAAAAAAAGAAAAAACAAUGGGGACCACUGCUCUUACGUAUAAUUUGAAAAAGUACUAAUAUUUACUAGUAGGUUAAUUAAUACAUUUUGGCAAAUAUUUAACUUUUAAUAAUCUUUUAAUGGUACUAAAUUUCUAACCAAAGCAGAGAUCAAAUAGGAGAUAAUAUUUUUAAAGCUUGUGUACAUUCAAUAUCUAACUCUCUUGUAAUGUAAACUGAUUAGAGAGGCAAAAUAUUUGAGGCAUAUGUAUAUAUUUAACUUAAGGAAACUUAUGAAGUGCCACAGGAACACAAAAUUUAAUACAAAUGAUCCCUUACACUUGCUUUAAACUUGUUGAUAUUUUUUUAAACUAGAAAGAUGUGAAUAAUUACAAGAGAAAAGCCUCAAAUGACCCACCACAUUUUAAUAAAUUUUGUGGAUAUCCAUGGAAAUUCUUAUAUUUCUUAUUAAUUAUCUAUCUUUGUUUUGCCAUGAGUAUCAUGCUUUUAAAUUGAAAAGCACCAGUAAUUAAUGAAGGGAAACAAUAUAUCCAUAAUAAUUAAAUACAUUUGAGAGGCACAUUAAUGCAUAAAAAGUUAAUAAUUGUUAUUAAUUAAUUUCUUUCAUUCUAUUUUCCAUGGAGCUAGUUACAAAACUUGAGCUUCAUGUGUAAAGGGCAAAAAAGCUAACACUGCUUGCUUUUUAGCCCAAGAAAAAGCUUAAAAAUAGAGAGAAAAUUAAACUUAAGUAGCAUUACAAAAGACUCUAUUUAAUUAUUUGGGGUUCCCCCUCAACCCCAAAAAUGGCAAUACAUAACUCCUAAGUCCAUUUAAAGCCACCACAAAAACAUAAAUGAGAGUGAUGGGGACAUGUUAUACAUAUCCUAUUGUAGUUACCCCCUUGAGUGAGCCUUUAACAUUUGUUGCUUCCACUUCACAAGGCUAAGUAACAACUCCAUGACCUAUAGAAACAAUUAAUUAACAAACCAAGUCACCAACUUGAGAAUAUAUAAAUUUGCCACAAAAAUAGAAAAGAAGAGAAACUUGAGAGAGUAAAUAGAGAGAAAAGUAUGUGACAAAUUAGUGAUGAGUUGCAAUCAAAGCGGUCCACAAUAUGAAGGUGUAUCUUAUAUAAUGUCACAAAAGCAUUUGAAUGUAAAUAAAGGGAGAUCAAUGGUGCUGUUGCUGUUACUUGCCUCAGCAGGUUCUUGUAGAGAAUAUGAAGCAUUUGUCUCUUUAGGGGACUUCGAAACAAGAAUGCCAAUGCCUUGUCCUCUUUCGCGUAAUACCUAAUAAUAUAUCGUCGUAAAAAAUGUUAUCAUUGCGCUAAAAUGUUUACGCAUUUUACCAAGCUAGAACUUUAGAACCUCAUUUGAGUAGGUAGAGCUCUCUACAAAAAGCUUAUUUAACUCCAAACGAAGUUUCAGACAUCUCGUUUAUUAAAUGUUUAACUUCUACUUCUCAAGUAUAGAAAAAGUAAUGCAAAUUAGUGAACCAAAGAUGUAUAUAUAUAUACCUUGAAAGCGUCCUCGUCGGUGCGAUCAUCCCCUAUAUAAAUUGGCAAAACGUCGACACUGUCGGCAAAUCCUAAUAAAUAUGAAACAUGAGUUUUAGGAAAGGUGGCUUGAUUUGAGGGCUAAUGACCGACAAAAUUGAUGUUUUUGCUUAUAAUAUGAUCCAUAAACUAAGUGAAAAAGAUGUGUGAUGUAAAGUAGUUGGUUAUGAUCUUACCAAGAGACUCCAAUAGGAACUCCAAGGCCUUCCCCUUGUCCCAUUUAAUAGUGGGACGAAUCUCUAAUACCUAAGGAUCAAGUAGCCAUGAAACCCAUGUCAUAUUUAUGUAUGGUUACAUCCAAAGAACAUAUAUUAUAAAUUUAUAAUUAUGGUACAGUACCUUGAAAACAAGUCAUUAUGAAAUAGGCAAUUUUGUAAAAAAAAUCUGACACUAUAACGACCCAACUCAUUAGUAUAAUAACUUAUUGGGAUCACACUAUCUGCCUAGAAUAUUUAAGUCCAGAUAUUAAAUAAAUUUACUCUUAGUCUCUGCACAUACUUUCAAAAUUUUAAUGCAUUUUUUUUAAAUUUUUUUUUUUUUAUCUUUACAGUUCUAAUUAGUAUAUUUCAUGCAAUUCUUGCAACAAUAAAUUUAUUAAGAAAGAUAAUUAAUCAAUUUAAAUUUCGGAGGUAAAAUUUUAUUGACUGAUUCAAGUCAAACAAACUAAAAGAUAAAAUGGUAAAAUCAAAAAUUUGAAGUUUGUGUGCGUAGCUGAUUCAAAAUAGUUUAUAAUUCAAAUAAGAUUUGCAUAUUUUUACCUAUUAUUUGAUAUUUUUUUCACUGGGGCAAAAUAAAUAUAGUACCUUCCUCCCUUGAGUUGGUGUUAGCUUUGGAUACUCCCUGAGCACAGAGUUCACUUGCUCAGCCAAUAAUUUCCAACUCUGCAAACAGUUGAUUUAGAAAGCAUAGUUUAAAAAGAAAAGAAAAAUAUUUCCAAAAAGUAGAUUUCUUUUUCCCACUAAUGGCUAAAAUUAGAAAGUGGGCACAUGAAUUUAAAAUUGAUUUGGACCUUUUCAUCUACACAUCUGAAGUGGACAGAUACACAGAACUUGUUGUUCUCCACCUUGGCUCCAGGUACUGAUUUGGCCUUUUCCAACAAUGCUUGGUACACCUGACAAAGAUUUUGAUGCAUUAAGAACCCAACUUUAUUACUGGGUCUAUGUGGUUAAUUAUGUUAAUAAUUAUUAAUACAUUGGUAGGCAAUAAAAUAUUCAAAAGGUUGGGUAGUUAAAGAUGCAUGAGGAAGAGUAAAUUAAACAAAUUAAUAAAACAAUAAAGAAUUGAAAAACCAACCUCAUUUAUCAUGGGAAGGAACUCACUAGCUGGUUGAAAGAGAACUCUUUUGCCCUGAAUCACACAAAUAGAAGAGAAAGAUAAAUUGAGACAUUUCUUAGAGCUUAUUUAAUUGUGCUAGCUCAUAGAGUAGUUUCUCUGGCUGAUCUCGAAAUUUUUACUUCAAUAAGGAGUUAUCCAUCACUCGAGCAAUACUUUUGUAGAAACUCUAUACGCGUCUAACUUAUCCUUGAGGCUUAUUUAGUAGUAAUUUUGUUUUUACUUUUAGUAACAAUUGCUUUUACGAAACGUUUGACAAAUAGAAAUGUUUGAACUUUUGAUAAUACAGGAAGCAAAGAGGAGGCUUCAAUUUUAAGCUUUUGGCUCGGUUUGAAGGAAAGAUUGUUUGUAAGAUUAUUAUAUAGUAAUUUUUUUUAGUGCAUAGUCUUAGUUAAAUGGUACUGUAUCGAAUGUACGUUCACGGCCAAACAGGCUCGUAGAAAACAACUUACUUUUUUGGCAUGCUUGGAGGCUUUGGCAGGCCCUUCGAUGUCCAUUCCAUGGCUACCAGCAUAGUAAAGCUCCGCUAACUUCACAAAAUUAAACACCUAAUAUCACACACGAAAGGACUGUUAAAUAAUGUGAAACAAUCGUCUUUUGUACAGCUAAAGCUGUCAGAGAAUUAUUUUUUAAUAUUUAUACUGUCUGAUUGAAUAAAGAAUUGUGUGGAACUGAACUAAAUUGGAGGGAUUAACCGUAGUAAUUAAGGAGUCUAUGGGGACUCAAUUAAUUUAGGAUCUCUUGUUCUAAAAACCAUACUAAAUAAUGUGAACAAUUGUUAUUUUCAAAAGAUUUCAGCUAUAUAUUAUUAGAUAACGAUGUUUUUAAUAUUUGUAUGCAACAUAGACCGAUUAAAGAACAAAACAACAAAAUAUUUAAAAGCCAAAGCACAGUAGAGAUGAUAAUGAGUUUAUGCUAAUUAACAAGAAUUAAUCAAUGCACCUUGUCCCUACACCUCCCACUCACUAUAGCAGUGGGAAAGCACUUGGCCACCUUCUUUACUGCGGCCCUCAUCUGCUCAAUCAUUCACAAAGGAAAGCAACGUAACUAGGAAAGAAAACAAAGAAAAGGAGUACUAAAAUAGUUAUGUAGUUAUAUAUAUAUAUAUAUGCUAGGGCUACUAUAUAUUUAUAAGUACUGAUCUUCCUGUGCUUAUAAAUUUUUGACCGUUGAAUAAAUAGAUUUGUGGUUAGGAUGAAAGUGAUUUCCGGUUAGAAUGAUAGUAAAAUUUUAAGAUUGAGUAGAUGGUUGGUUGAAUAGUAUGAUCUAACGAGUGCAAAUGAUAAAAAAUAUAGAUAUAACGGUCACAAACUUAUAAGUACAAAAAAAAAUUAUAUUUAUAAAAAUAUAGCAGUCGGACUAUAAAUACAUAUACAUGUAUAUAAACUAAAAGAACAGGGUGCUUACUGCAUCUGACAUGAAGGCGGCGUCGGGGUCAUCGACGAUCGGCGACAGCGUGCCGUCGUAGUCCAAGAACAUCACUAUCUGCUUCCCCUGAGAAGCACUUAUGAUCUGCUCAAACUUGUCCAAAGCCGAAGGAUGUUUUACCUGCUCACAGCCACGAAGAAUAACAAGUCCAUAACUCAAUUUACAUAAAUAUUUAAGCCGUUAACCCCCAUUUGGUUGGGGUAUGAGGGGUGGGAUAACCCACUCAAUUUACAUAAAUAUUUAAGCCGUUAACCCCGAUUUGGUUGGGUAUAAGGGAUGGGAUAAACCCUUAUCUCACCCGUUAUACCCACAAAAAAAAAAAAGUGGGAUUCUUAACGGGUUAUCCGUUAAGGGGUGGGGUUAGCAAUCCUGAGCCUCUCCCUUGGAAUAGGUGUGGAAAUAACUAUUUCUACCCCUAUUUAAUUUUUAAAUUUAAAUUUAAAAUUUAAAAUGUAAAUUAUAAAUUUUAAAAAUUUAUAAUUUAUAAUUUUAAAUUCUAAAUUCUAAAUUUUAAAAUUUAAAUUAUAAAUUUUAAAUUGAUAUAUUUAAUUUUUUAAAUUUAAAAUUUAAAAUUUUAUAUUUCUAAAUUUAGAUUUGAUCUUAAAUUUAAAAUUUGAAAUUGAAAAUUUAGAACUUUGAAUUUUCGAAUUUGAGAUUUUUAAAUUCAAAUUUUAAUUUUGUAUUUUUGAAAUUUAAGAGUUAUAUAUUUAAAUUUAAAAUUUUAAAUAUAAAAUUUAAAAAUUUUAAUUCAAAUAUAAUAAAGAGGGUAAUAUCAUUAUUUUCUAUUUAUAACCAUCCACUAUCUUUAUUAUUCCACUUAUUUCAACCAAACACUAUUUUGAUUAUACUUGGACUAAAUCCAAUAGUCAACCAAACACAAAAUUAUUCUAUAUCUACGUUAUAUUUUAUCAUCUUAUAUCUAUCUCUAGAACAACUAAGUUUUACUUAUAUUCGAACCAAACGAAGUCUAAUAGUCUAAUAGAAAAUAGAGAAUGUUAUUUCAAUACAGUUUUUAGUCGCGUUUUUUUUGUUGUUGAAGUAUCGCUCCAGUAGCGGUAACAUGCUAUCUUUUCUCAAAAAAAAAAAAAAAAAAAAAAAAAGUGUCGCCCCAGUACUGUUAUUUGAAUUCAUAAUCCAAAAGUUUAAGCUGGUAGAUAAGUGGAAGUAAAGAUGCCCACCAACCAAGCGGCGUGCUCGCCGUCCGCCGCGGUGGCGGCUGCGACGGCGGCCGCCCUGGCGUGGGUGGGGGAGGAGGCUCUCAUGGAGUCCACCCACGCAUUGGCACGGGCGGCGCCGCCACCGCCGCCGAGCUCCAGCUGCGUCAAGCGGCCCUCUCUCGUCGGUUGGCGCGGCGGCGGGAAGGAGAAGACGCGGGUCGGUUUCGGCAACGGUGUCGCAGCGGCGACCACGGCCCCUAUCGUCUCCGGCACCACGGCGCUCUGCUUCGGCAUCGCGAGGCCGACAAUGGCGACGAGGAGAAGGGGACGAGGAGGAGAGGGGGAUUAGAGUUUAAGCGUUGUUGUUGUUGUUGUUGUUGUUGUUGUUGUUGUUUGGGUUUUUGUUUGUAGAGAACUUAGACGAGAGUGUUGAGAGAAACAGUGGUGAGUUGGGGGAGAAAUGGAGAGGGGAGGGGAGUAUAUUUAUAGCCCUUCGAGGAGAGAGAAUUAGGAUGUCAACGGAUGCGGAUUCUUGAAAUUUAUUCGAAUUCUAAUGAAACGGGUUUAUUCGAUGUUAAAUAGAUAUAAUUAUAAAUAAGAAUAUAAAGAAUAAAAAUUCGAUAGAUUCGAAUUCGAAUACAAAUUUUUAUAUNUAUAUAUAUAUAUAUGUAUAUAAUUAGAUUAGAAUAUUAUUAAUAGUAUUAAAUUAUUGGUGCUAUUAGAUUUUCGGCCUGGGAUGAAGCGAUGUGUGAAAAGGAUAAUAGUGCUCGCGGGUUGAGUGGCUGGUUGGUUGAAUAGUAUGAUCUAAUAGAUCGAAAUAUAGAUCAAACGACAGAAAACUCAAUAGCACCUAAUACUUAGGCUUCGUUUGGGAUUGCGGGAAAAAAAUAUCCUGUUUGUUUCCGUACGUAAUAUUGCUUUCCGCAUAUCGCGAUGAGCCGGUUACGACACAUUUUCUGCGGUUCUACCGGAGAACGCAGAAGCAUAUCCCUUAAUGUUAUCAAAAAAAAUUACAAGUAUAGAGACCUCAAUACCAAACUAAACUUUAAUGUUAUCAAAAACAAUUUACAAGUACAGAGACCUCCGUACUUUCGAAAGCGCAGGAGCCUAACUAUAUAUAUUAUAUUUAAAUUUUUAAUUUAAAAUUAAAUAUUAACUUAAUAAUAUUUUGAAAUAUGAUAAGCAGAAAUGAGUAUUUUAGGUUUGGGAUUUGGAUUUCAAAUUUUAGAUCAGAUUCAAAUUUUGGAUAUAGAUAUUCAACGAGUUUAGAUUUUGAUUUUGAUGGUCAGUCCAAAUUGGAAUUUUUAAAAAUCCGUACAGAAUCUGACUCGGCGUCGACAUUGCGAAGGAGAAUGAAUAAAUAAACAAAAUGAAUUAGUGAGUCAAUAAUGAGGCCACCACAUAGGUCCCCCAAAGGCCCGAAAAUGAGUUUUUUAUUUUUUUUUAUUUUUAUUUAUUUAUUUUUUAACAUCAGAUCAAAAUGGAGUUUAGUAAUUUAAAAACAAAAUUUUUGUUUCAAAUAAAUUAGUUGAGUUAAAUUUUAUUCUAUUUUAUUAUUUUGUAAAGUAUGAGAUUUCAUGUCAACACAUUUUGUAUAGUUUCUUUUCCAACUAUAUCCUUUGCCGUAUAAUAGUAAGAUAAAUUGUAUAAUAUUUUAAAAGAAGUUUUUUAAGUUAUGUAAAAGAUGAGUUUGGCCUCAAAUUUUGAAAAACAUUGGAUGAAAUUUAUUUGUAAAAAGGCAAUCCAACAAAAUCUUUCUGAAUGAAAAAAAAUUUCAUUAUUAACGAAUGAACUCGAACAAUAAAUUUAGAAAAACCAAUAAUACUCUAUUUUAAUUUGUGUAUUAAUUGCUCGUUAAGGUACGGUAUUUUGAGCAUUUGAUAUGUAAAAUUACCAAACACUAUUGUGAUUGAUAAAAUGCUCCUGUAGUUUUAAUUUGUUAGGUCUUGACAAGUUUUUUUUUUUUUAGGAAAAAAGUAGCACGCUAUCCGCUUUAUUUAUUGGAGCGAUGAACUAGGCUACAGGGAUGAGACAUCCGGGGCCUCGAGAGAGCCAAAAAAAAAGAAAAGAAAAAAAAGACAAGACAGAACUCGUGGACGACCAACACUCUCUUCUACUUCGGUUGGCGGAGGUGGUCCCAGAACUUCAGCAUCAACUUAAGCUUGUGGAUGACCAACACUAGAUCAGGGUGGAUCUUUCUAAAAAUAAACUCGUUCCUGACCUUCCAAGUAACCCGCCAACACGAGACUAAUUCAGAUAGACUAUUACUCGUAUGCUGCGGUCUUUUUCUGUCUGUCCAUCUAUCCAAGACAAAGAGUACGUCGCCUCCGAAGUCCCAAGUCUCUGAACCCCCUCCACACCCAUCACAAGGAUAAACUUGAUGAAUACGCACUGUGUGAAUAGGCGGUCCACUAUCUAGUCAUCAGCUCCGCAUAGCACGCAGGACAUGUCUCCAGUCCAUCCUCCCCUCACGAAGUUGUCAGCUGUAGGGGAUCUCUUCUUGAGUACGAGCCUCCAAAGUCUCGAUACGUUAUUUUUGAAUGGUAAUUGAUAUGUUUAAAUAGUACACGUCAUAUUUUCUAGUAUGAACCAAAGUGACAAAUUAAGAAGCACCGACUCCACUCCUUUUCAGUACUACAUUGUCUUUAAGUUCAUAUUGAAGUAGAUCCUCUAAUGAAUCACAAUUCUCACAAAAAUUAGGAUAAAUUUCAAAAAUCACUUCUGUGGUUUCGCAUUUUUUUACUUUAGUAUCUUAUAUUUUAAAGUGUAUCAAGUUAGUGUCAUGUGAUUUUUUUUUUUUAUCUUUUCGUCAGCUUUUUCGUUAAUGUUUUGUUAAAUUAUAUACAAAAAACUUCAGAUACUCCAUCUAGAUUUAUCGAAUAUUCACUUUAGCACCUUUAGUUUUAACUUUGUUAUUAAUUUAACGAAAAAAAUUAGUGGAAUCGAUAAUAAAAAACUAAAAAUGAAUAUACAUGAUACUAAAUUGAUACACUUUAAACUAUAUGGUACUAAAAUAAGAAAGUAUGAAAUCACAGGGGUAGUAUUUGAAGUUUUUUCUAAAAAUUAUUGUUCUUUCAUUAAUUGCUUAUUUAUAUAGCUCAUGUAGAACUGAAAUUUAAUCUUUUAAUUUUGUUGUUUGUUUGAGAGAAAAUAAAUAAUAUAAAAGCACAACAGUUCUUAUAUAUAAAGUAGUACUAUUGUGCUAUUAAAAGCACAACAGUUCUUAUACUCCUAUCUUUUUUUAACCAUCUAUCAAUUUUGAUAGAUGGUUAGUAUGAGACUGAGAAAAAAAAAUUAUGAAGAAAUUUAGUAUCUCAAUGUCCCUCUUUGAAUUUUUUUUUUUUCAAUUUCUCUUCUCUUAUCCUAAUCCUCCAUCAAAAUUGAUGGAUGAUUAGAAGAUUAGGAGUACAAGAACUGAUGUGCUCAUAAUAGCACACUAGCCCUACUAUAUAUGAAAAAUUAUGAAAUUUAUUUUCUAGAAGUUUUAAAUACUCUAGAUCAUUUUAAUAAUGUGGAUCAUCGAUUCGGAAACUUUAUAAUCAAAAAUAAUUUAUGAGUACGAAGAACUCUAUACUCAUAAGAGUAUAGUAGACUUACUCUAUAUAUAUAUAUAUAGAGAGAGAGAGAGAGAGAGAGAGUUGAGCUAGAGUACAUUUGAAAGCUCCAGGGGUUGGUGCUUUUCGGUUCUUAGCCCUUAGAUUCACUCCUGACUAUUAGUAGCUUUUGGAUCAAAUACUAUUCUGCCUACUACCACCUUCCACCGCUCAAUCUAAGUCGGCUACUAUCAUCUUAGCCUUACAAUAUCCCCAUCCAAGAGCUAUAAAUCUAAAAGCAUCAACCCCUUUCUGCUUUUAGAUAUAUUCUAACUCAACUCUCUCUCUAUAUAUAGUUUAUAUUACAAUAUUAAAUUUUUUCAUCAUUUUUUUUCUCUUCUCUUUGUCUGUGGAGCGAGGCCUACGACGUCCAAGGCGAGGCCCUUCGCCGCGGGAAAAUGAGGUAUGCCGCACGUUCAGCGGCGAAGACCAGGCCGGGAGAGAGAGGAGAGAGAAAGAUAAUUUAUUAUAAAAAUAAAUUUAUAAAAAUAAAAUGAUGACUUUACAUAUCCAUCGUUAAAAAAUAAACAGUAUGUCAACACCAUGAUAAAUAACAAUUAUAGAAUUUUUAGCUGUAUAUAUUUGUUACUCGAUAUAUUUACAGAGAAUGUUAUAAAAUAAGUCCUUAUUUAUUAGAUCUAGCUAGCUAAUAUAAACGUGAAUGGAAAGAUCUUAAUCUGUGGAUGCUGCGUCAAAGUCUAGUCGAUAAAAACAAAAGAGACAGCGAGGUACGAAAUUAAAGUAUUGGCAUGGAAAACCCAAAAAUGACAUUCUAUUCGCAACAUGCAUGCGAUUCUAAAAAAAGUACAAGAAAAAUAUCUUUUCACGGGAAGGAAAAGUGGACGCUCGUUAUUUUGACUUGUGAGUAAUUUGGUCGGUGUCACACCAUUACGUACCAUAUAUACCAAAGUUAAUUAAAGAGAAAAUUUCAAAUAUAUUCUUUGGUUUCAUACUUUUUUAUUUUAAUAUUCUAUAAUUUAAAAUAUAUUAUUUUUAUAUUUUAUAAUUUUAUAUUUUUUUAUUAUUUAUUUUAUUAAUUUUUUUUUAUUAAAUCAGUGAUAAAGUUAAAAUUAAAUGGUACUAAAAUGAAUAUUCGAUAAAUCUAGAUGAGAUAUCUGAAAUUUUUUGUAUAUAAUUUAACAAAAUAUUGACGAAGAAGCUGACGAAAAGAAAAAAAUAAAAUCAUAUGGUACUAACUUGAUACACUUUAUACUACAGGAUACUAAAUUGAGAAAGUACGAAACUAAGUUUACCCUUAAUUAAGCUUCAAUUAUUCGCCCUAAAUUUAAAUUAGGUACUUAGAUAUAUAUAUAUGUUAGCAAUAUGUAUGGAGGCCCGCCAAACUAAACGCGGUUUUAAAACAGGCCCCUCAAACUUUUCUUUCUUAAUUUAUUGGAAUUGAAAUAUUUUAGCUGGUUAAGUAUAAUUUUUUAUUAAUUUAGUAAUUUCAUUAGCUGUUUGAUACCAGUUAUUUUAGUUUUAUUUGCUAAAAAGUAAUCAAAAGUGAAUUUUUGCUAAUUUCAUGAACUAAAUUCUCUCUCUCUCUCUCUCUCUCUCUCUCUAUAUAUAUAUAUAUAUAAAUUGUUAUCGAGCCGAAUACGAGUCAAUUCAUAUUCGGCUCGUUUAUUAAAAAAACUGAAAAAAUCAGCUUGUGGUCGACUCGUUUACUAAACGAGCGACUUGAUCUCAAUCUCAUUUUGAGUCGAACACGAGCUAGAUUGCUACCCCUACACAGCGAUGACAAUAAAAUUAAAGUUGAGGAGCCAAUUCCAAAAUGACCUAUAGUUGAGGGUGUUUCAUACACUUUUUACCAAAAAGAAAGUAAAAAAAAAAAUUACAAGCGAAGAGAUUUGCUCAAUUAUUUGAUUCUAACUUGGGGAAGAAGCAAAACCAUGCAUGGAAUGGAAUUAAAAAGUACGACGCGUGCAUGCAACAACAAAAUCCCAAAUUAAUAAACCAUGCAUGCAUUAAUAUGCGGACUCUUUUGUGAUCUCUAUAUAUGGGGACCAAAUAUGAACUCGUCCCCCACUUUUUAGACUUAAACACGGAUUCUUUCUCACGGAGUAUUAGUUUCGAAUCGUUCGAGAAACAGAACAUGAGAUUCUAAUAAGAAUAUAUAUUUGAAGCCCAUUUUUUAGUCUUAUUCCUGCUAAUAACUCACAUGCUCCAGCAUCAAACGCAAUUUAUUAAUCGCAUCUUUUCACCUAAUCCAUAAAGUUAAUUGCUUGUUAAAAAAUUUGUAACUUGUUCUUUAAAAUGGAGUCAAAACCAAUGGCCGUUAAAGCAGUAUCGAUUCGAAAAAGGCCCGAAAAAACGUGAUCAAGCGUUGAUCACGGAGGGUAUCAGAGCCAAUUAAUACCGAGUUCUUUAGUUUUGUUGCUUCGGAAUCUGCUUUUUAGUGUUUUCUACGAAUGUUCUCGGACGCGUGACCAAAUUGUAGUAGGGUUGAUGGAUUCUGAGGUGCAGGUCUUUGCUGCUUAAACUCGUUUCUUGUGAUCGUGGAAAUAGAAAUUUACCUCGAAAGAAUAAUAAAGAGUUGAUAUAUUACAUUUUCGCUGGCGUAAUGUUAUGUGCGCUUACUUGUUAGAUAUGACCCGAAAUUGAUAAUCGACUCAAGUUCGGGUUUUCGACUCGCCGACAGUUUCGCGAUGCGAUCAAAUUGAAAAAAUUAAAUUGUGAAGGAAAAAUGAAUGUCCGUGGUGGGUAGCGGAGGGCUUGGGCCGACAGGCCGAUCGGAUCCAAAACCCGUUAUGAGUUUUCUCUUCGUUUUUGCCCUAGAGGCGUGAGAUCGUGGUUGGUUGUAAUCAUCUGAACAUUAUAUUCCCUUUUUCGUUCGAUAGUGAAGUUCUCUACUCCUUUGCCCGUGGUUUUUCCCUACAAAGAGUUUUUCAUGUAAAUCUGUGUGUUCUCUUUGUUUUCUGCUUGUGGUUUGAUUGUUUCGUGUUUGUCAUUUUGUUUCCGUUUGUGCGUUUGUCGUAACAUUACUAGUGAGGAUGUUUUUGUGUACCGAAAAAAAGCGAAUACUGAAUCGUACCUACAAAGAGAAAACGAAACAAAAAUUCUUUAUCGAUGUUGGAGAACUGAAUUUUCUGGUAUAGUUACAGUUUUGUCUUUUUUUAAAAAAAACUUGUUAACUGAGCCGAACUGAAUAUAUAUCAGUUAUUAAUUAAUUUUGUUGGCUUAAAUGGGUCAGUAUCUUACUGAGUCACGUUCAAAAUGGCAGAAGGUAGGAUUGGACCGAGUAAUGUUCGAAGUGACGUGAGAUUGAUUAUACCGAAUCACAAUCGAGAUAUAUCGGUACUAUGUCUGUACGUUUUAAGUAUUUAGUAGCGUAUUUUUAAUAGCUUUUCAAGGUAUUAGAGUCAGAGGUCU